Molecule: long non-coding RNA, 45777 nt
Filed under: Triticum aestivum (bread wheat)
Lineage: Eukaryota; Viridiplantae; Streptophyta; Magnoliopsida; Poales; Poaceae
Description: long non-coding RNA (TAES_LNC023654)
Source: RNAcentral
AGCACACACAUCUACCUGUUCUAUUUCCAACUCAUUCUCUUCUUCCUCUACGUACGCGGAGCAAUCGUAUAUAUAUUGUUCACUGCGAGCAUGGCUUCUUCUUUCUUCGUCGCUUUCGCGGCUCUAGCCAGCAGCUGCCUUCUCCUCCUCCAUUCGCGCAGCGUCUCAGGUUGGCUCGACAGCGGCGCGACGUGGUAUUAUCUCCGCGAAGGCGCCGGCACCGACGGUAGGUGUAUAGUCGCAUGGACUAUGCAUGCAGACCUCCAUGAUAAGGGUGCAAUGCGUGCUAGGAUGUGUAUACAUCAGCUAUGUAUGUGUACUGACUACUGAGUACUGACGUGUGCAUGAGCGUGCUGCAGGUGGUGCGUGCGGGUACCAGGGCGACGUGGAGAAGCCGCCGUUCUCCUCCAUAGUCACGGCGGCCGGCCCCUCCAUCUUCAAGGACGGCAAAGGCUGCGGCGCUUGCUAUCAGGUUAAAUGCACCGGCAACGCCGCUUGCUUCGGCCGCCCGGUGACCGUGGUUGUCACAGAUGAGUGCCCCGGCGGCGGGCCGUGUCUGGCCGAGGCUGCCCACUUCAACCUCAGCGGGAAGACGUUCGGCGCCAUGGCCAAGCCCGGCCAAGCCGACAACCUCCGCGACGCCGGCAACAUUAGAAUCCAGUACGACCGGUAUGCUCUCGCUAGCGCACACACUCAUGCCUAGUGCUCGCCUCCGUGCAUGUUCGUGUGAUCCAUCGAUCGUUUGUCAUCUCCUUGAUUUCUUCGACCGCAGGGUUCCGUGCAAGUGGCGCGGGCUGGACAUCGCCUUCAGAGUGAAGGCUGGCUCCAACCCGAACUAUCUCGCGGUGCUCAUCGAUCAAGAGUCCGGCGACGGCGACCUGUCGGCGGUGGAGCUUCAGCACCGUGGUGGCAGCUGGGCGCCGAUGCAGGAGUUCUUGGGCGCGGUGUGGAAGUACAGCUCCGGGUCCACCCUGCAGGCGCCCAUAUCGAUCCGCCUCACCUCCAGCUCCGGCAAGAAACUCGUCGCCAGCAACGUCAUCCCCUCCAGCUGGCAGGCCGACAGGACCUACCGAUCCAUCGUAAACUACUGAUCGAGUGAUUUAUCAGUCUGUCGAGUAUGUGUUAAUCCGGCCGUGUACUUUCUGAAGUUGCUUUAUAUAUAAAGCGGAAUGAAAGCCUGUUUCGAGAGUAUGUGUUAAUUAGUUCUGUGCCUCUAUAUGUAACUAGUAAUAAUGUACGUGCAAUGCACGUUUAUAUUAGGUGGGAUAUUAGUUGCACGUUAUAUUAGAUAAGAUGUAUCUGUUGCACGUUGGUAUUUGGUGAGAUAUCAAUUACUUUUUCGCGGGAAUGGUAGGAUAUUAAUUACAUGGCAGAUUUCAAGGGAUAGCGUUGAGUCAAACGUGUUUAUAACCAAUGGCAAUGAUGGGUAAUUAGAGCGUUAAACGUGUUUGGUGCUCAACAUUGGAGCGAUUUGAACCGCUAGAUAACAUGAUUUGACGGUCUUGAUGGUUUGGAUCUGCCCAUUUGGGUAUUUUUAUAUUGGUAUAGAUAUAGAUAUAGAUUCAUGUCAAUUUGGAAGAGUUGCUUUCAUGCUUGAAAGAUUGCCACUAACAUGAAAAAAUUUGUUUGCCUGAAAUAUUUGGCGGAUCUGUUGUAUACUUGUAUAUCUGUUUAAAACCCUCAAGAUUAGCGCCAACUGAGUUGUUCUUCAAUCCUUCGAGUAAGUUGAAAUUCAAUCAAAAAAACUCACUUAAUUUAGGAUUUAAAAGAAAGGAAAAGCAUAUUUUUCAUCAUUAAACUCUUGCGAAAGUUUACAAAUCGCCGCUCAACUCCAAAAACAUCAAAACUUAGUCUCUCAACUAAUUAAACUAGAUAUGUUUCAUCCUUGAUAACACUUUGGUCAAAACCAGCAGCCAACUAAACCGGCUGGCUCAUGGCCGAUCAACAAAGCGGUGGCGUGCAUGGGACAGGGCCAGGGCGCGGCGGGUGCUCGCCCAGAGCACGACCAGGCACAUGGGAGCAGUGGCAGAGCGUGAACCAAAUACUAGGUGGGGUCAAAUGAGUGUAUGACAUAGAAAAGGGUAGGGUGAUCAGAGACACCAGACGAUUAGUAGAGCGAUUAGCAGAAAAAAUAAGCAUAUUUGGCAAAAAUUCCACUACCAAGGGGUGGCCAGGGCCCGGAAUUGUCCCCACCACGCUCCGCCACUGCAGGGGAGUGAACGGAGGAGGACGCGCGUGGGGCUGCAGGAGUGCGCGCAAGCGAGACUGCGACCAGGGGUGCACGCGGCUGUGGUGCAGGAGGCCGGCCCAGCUUGCGGCCAUGGCGCACGGUGGCGUCGGCUCGAGGGGGAAAGGGGCUAGGUGGCAUGGACGCCUCCUCCCCCUGUGCUUGGUGCAUGCCAUGGACGCCAGAGAUUUAUGAGGUCGACGAAUAGAAUCCAGAGAGCCUCAAUUGUUGGCGCCCUUGUCAUCUUCUCGGCCUCCUGGUGACCCGCUGUCGUGCCCUGCUCUCCUCCAGCGUGCCUCCUCUUUCUUUCUUUCUUCGUUUUUUCCUUUGUUUUCAUCAGUUUUCUCGCUUUCAUUCUUUUGAAUUGGUUUCUUUGGUUUUUCAUUCUUUUGUUUUUGUUUUCUUUCUUUUUCUUUUUGGGUUUCUUUGCUUUUCUUUAGUUUUUGUUGAUUUUCAUCGGUUCGUUUUUGUUCAAUACAUAUUUUUCAGUACAGAUUCAACAUUUUUUAUACAUGUUUAAUAUUUUUUACAUACAUGAUUAACAUUUUUGAAAUCUUAUUUUUUGGAUGUCUACUUUUUUUCCAUACACAUUGUACGUUUUUGGUAUAUAUCUAAUGUAUUUUUCAAAUAGAAGUUUUACAUAUUUUCAUACAUGGUCAACACUUUUGGUAUACACACUUAACUUUUUUCAAAUGUUUGAUUAACAUCUUUGAAGUGCAAGAUUCACAUUUUUUAAUACAUGGGCAAUAUUCUAUACAUAUUUAACAUUUUUCAAAUGCUCGAUUAACAUUUUUCAAAUAUAUUAAAAAAAUAACACAUGGUCAACAUUUUCUACAUACACAUUUAGCAUUUUUCAAAUACUUGAUUUUUUAGACGAUUUCAAAUACUUGAGUAACAGGUGAAUUUUGGGCUCGGUUAAAAGAGCCGAUGGCCCAUUCAGGUGGCCCAGCCAGCCCGAACACCCCCUCCGGCGCGUCCCGCACCCGCAGACGCAGGAAGCACUCCCCCUGUUAUCCAAGAAGUACACUUUUCCGGCGCCCCAAGGUCGACGGCCGCCUCCGCCCGCCCGCUCGCCGCCGCGACUCCUUCCUCCCCAUGCGGCGUCCUCGGGCGAUUCGAUGACCAUAGCAUGUGGUUUCUCUCGCUUCCUCAGCACCACGCGCGUGCAUUCCUCCACAAAUCGCGUCCUCAGCCUCUGGUUCGCCUCCUGUCCCUGCUCAUCCGCCUCCGCCUCCGCCUGCGCCUCGGAGCCGCCGGAGAUUGCGGGUGACCCGGAUACCGUCAGGGAAGGGCGGGCGGAGAUAUUCGCGGACAAGUCCAAUUCGGUCUUCUUCAACAAGGCUCAGGUCUCGCCUCCUUUGCUUCCUGUCUACGUGUGCUGUAGAUUUGAUUUUCUUUUGUCAAGCUGGUGCCAUUGCUGCUUCACCUGAUGGUUGCACGAACAGUAGUGCAGUCGUUCAUUCUGGAAAAUAAUAGUAGUGGUCAUCUGUUUGAUGAUUUCGGUUCAUUUCGUUAGAACUGCAAGAAUUACGGACUAAACAAGUUGCUAAUAUACUGCUAGAACCCAUGGCUACUGUAGCUUCGCUGUCAAACAGUAUCAUCUCAACUCACAAAAGAACAAUUUACCGUAGUUACUAUUCAAUAUUCCCUUUGGAAAUUCGAAUUUUGGUCUGAUGGUAGCUUUAGAAAUAUGUAUGUGUAAGUUCUUUGUACUUAUGAAUUCAGUUCUCGCCAGGUUAACAACAGAGACCUUUCCAUUGCCGUAUUGAGAUGGUUUGUUUUGAAAAGACAGGAAGAGCAUGAUGCCCAAUUAAAAGGUAUCCGUCUGGACACAAUUCACACUGCUAGUUUACAAACCUUUUCCGUUUAAAAGGUACACCAAUGCUUGAGCGAUUUCUGUGAUGAAGCAGGCAGGCGUGCUGAUAUACCGCCGGAGCAGCAUGCCGAUGGAUUAGACCCUGCUACAACAGGUUCUGAAGACACUGCAUUGAGAAAGGAAUCGAGCCUUAAAGCACCUAAAGUUCUUGAGGUGCAUUUAUGAAGUCCUGUUGUUUAAUAAUGAUCAGUUCAAGCUGUGAUGUGCUAUGAUAUAGCAUAUUUCUUCUGGAAGUUCUCCCAUUUUUAAAUUAUGUACAUAACCUUAGUAUGGCAGUAGUAUUUGCAUAAACAAUGCUGAUCUUUUCACUUCAGAUCCUUCUUAUCAUGAAUUUUGUAGGCUUUGGCUGCAUCAGGGUUAAGAGCUAUCCGAUAUGCACUUGAGGUGGAUGGAAUUGGGGAAGUUAUAGCUCUUGACAAUAAUGAAGGUACAUUCUGAUAUCUCUGUCAGGAUGUUGCAGAUGACUUCUCAGAAAUCUUUGGAGUCCUUGGAAAUAACACCCUAUUUUAUGUCUGAUGAUGCUAAACAUUUGUUUGAUUAACUGCAGUUGCUAUAGAAUCCUGUAAGAGAAAUAUCUAUCACAAUGGCAUUCUUGCAUCUUCGAAGGUGGUACCACAUCUUGCUGACGCUCGCAUUUACAUGCUCACUCACCCUAAAGAAUUUGAUGUGGUAUGGCUUUACUACUUUACUUUAAUAGAAACGUAACUCUCCAAUCAUUUGUUAUGUAUCAGUUUAAGUGCCAAGGGAAAUUAAAUGGCAGUUACACAUUUUUGGACAAGUAACUAUUGUAUUUGCUAUAUUACUUCAUAUUUGUGUUCCUGACUGAGUAGAAAAUCAAAUCAAGCAGAUAUAAAUUAUGGUUCUGUAUAUAAGCUGGGAAAUUCAAAACUCAGUGUCGUAUAAUUUAGUAUUGCCUAACUUUUUUGCAUAUCACGCUGCAAUGCUACAAUCCUACAAAAUUAAGAAACAAAAACCAUAUAGUCGAUAUGAUUACUUGUGUGAAUCUGUUUCUAGACACUUGCAGCGUGUCAAUACUGUAAUGCCUUAUGUCUUGCAUAGAAAUCAAACACUUGGUGUACCAAGAUUUUUUUUAUAUUUACUUUCUUACAUAUAGGAAAUACUGGCAUAGCGCACUCACAUCAUUGAUGUCAUAUGGCUAUUCCUCUGUUUAUAAAUAUUAAGUAUGUGAAUUUUGGUAUGUAUGGUAUCCAUACACAUAAAGUUUAACUAUUAUGUUUUGCAAUAUUGCUGUGGACAAUGGCCCCGGCAGUAAGAGUAUCAUGGUGGCAGCAGCAACUGCAGGUGCGGCAAGAACGGCCAGUGUGUCCAGCACUCCAGCAGCAAGAUGGUCAGGUUAUUCGGGAGUCAGAAACCAAUACCAGUAGCAGCGUUCCGUUAGAGUCCGGUGUCCAGCAAAAAUCAGGAAGUUGAAUCUGUAAUCAAUUGGGAAGUAUGUUAGAGAUUGAGUCAGUUAGUAGAAGUAUAGUAUGUAUCCCAGUGAGCUUAGUUGGUAAUUGGUUCAGACAUCUCUUUAUAUAGAUGUUAUUCUUAUCCCCAUUCUAGUAUCUCAUCUUUUCACGCUGGGCCGUCCUGGCCAUCUUCUCUGCGGAGUAGCUUCAUGACACUACCAAAGAAGUCUAAAAGGACAGUGUUAUGAAUGUACUUUUGGUGAAUGAUGACAGGUCUAUUUGUCACCUUUCCAUGCAACCAAUAUAGAUAUUUCUGUAUGUUGUCAAAGUUAGCGAAUUUUGAUUGCACACAUGCCAGGGUGACACAUUGACCAACAGAACUACUUCUUUGCAGUAAAUUGUUAAAAUCAUAUCAUAUCCUCUUGUUUUGUUGCCAUCUGCACGUGGUCACUUUUCCUCACGUUUGAGGAUAAUAUGCAUCCAUAUCAUGCUGUAUUGAUGUCCUAUAUACUUGCUGAAUCAGGUUGAUCUUGAUCCUUAUGGAUCACCAGCUGCAUUCCUUGAUUCAGCAGUUCAAUGUGUUGCAGAUGGUGGUAUCUUGAUGUGCUCAGCUACAGACAUGGCAGUGCUUGCCGGGGGCAAUGCAGAAGUUUGUUUUUCCAAGUCAGUUUAAUAUUCAAUUAUCAAUCAUAAACUGCGUGACUACAUCAUUUAAUUCUUACCAUAUCAGUUAUCUAUACCUGCAGAUAUGGUUCUUAUCCAGUAAGAGGCAAAUACCGCCAUGAGAUGGCCUUGAGGAUUCUUCUUGCCUGCAUGGAGGUCAGACCUGAGAGUCUCUUCUAUUCACAUAAUCAUUAUGACGACCCAUCAAUUCAUUUUCCUUGUUUUCCUUGCAGUCACAUGCGAUCCGCCACAAGCGCUAUAUAGUUCCUGUCAUAUCAGUGCACAUGGAUUUCUACAUUAGGGUUUUUGUGCGAAUCUUCACGUUGUCUCCUGCCUCUGCCUCUCCAUGGUGUUUGUAAUAUGGUUUCACACAAAUUGAUCUUACCAAUGUGCCUCUUUCACUGUGCAGGUCAGCUAGCACGGUGAAAAGCUCACCUCUCAAAUUUUCACAUGUAUAUCAGUGUGUUGGUUGCAAUUCAUUUCACUUACAAAAUGUUGGAAGAAUAAACUCAAAGGUAGACUUCUCUUUUCUUGUUUCAUUUUUUUGCAUGGCAUGCUUAUGGAUAUGAUCCUCUGAUCCAGGAUAAGAGGAAUAUUCCUCUACCAAAUUUUUGCCCUACUGUGCCUCAAGAGUGUUCUGAGUGUGGCGGUAAAUUUGUUAUGGGGGGGCCUAUAUGGAGUGAUCCAAUACAUGACAGGGAUUGGGCUACUUCCAUUUUAUCAAAUAUACGAGCAACGAGUGGUUUAUAUGAAGCUUAUGCAAAAAUUUCAGCUAUACUAACGUCAGUAUCAGAGGUACUAUUUUGCUUUGUCUUCUCAUUUGGUUAUGCUUAUGUUGUUUGAUGAUUGUAUGCUAGAGAAAAUGGAACAUGAACAGGACUAAAAGUGUACAGAUUAGUGAACUUUAAUGCUUUUAAUACAUUAUUUUUUUAGAAAGGCGCUGAUAGGCUAGAAGCUAUUUGCGGAUGUGCAUAUAUUCUUAUUCAUUACUUGAAUGAUAUAUGUACAAGGGCCAAUGGGCAUGCAAAUAUAUUUGCACUUAAAUCACUUUGUAUGGUUAUUUUUAGUGUCAGGCUCGGGUUUUGUGUAGUAAAAUACCUCAUAUCUCUGUAAGGCGAAGUCACUAACAAAAAGAAAAAAAGAACAAUAAUACUGAAUAAAUUCUUGAUUUUGUUGAUAGUGAAAAUGAACUUUCCGUUAGAAUAAAAGGCCAGCAGAAUGGCUGCCCACUGGUUGAGUAUCACUGUAUCAGGAUUCGUUCCAGUGCACCGAUGCGUUAACUGGAGGAGGUCUACGCAUGCUACAUGGUUACACACUCCGCAAUAGAAACUCAUAUGGAAACAGUUAAUGCCGGUGUCCAGCAUUAUCCUUGCUUUUUUGAGUAUAACUUUUAACCCUUGGUUUACACACUCCUCCAAUUGAAGUGAUAUGGACUUGCUUGCAUCUGAUUCUAGAAAGGUGUCAAACAUUCCCAGACCAAAAGGUAGCGACAAAUCUUUAUGUAAAUGGCCUGCCUGAUAUGCAUUCUGGAAACCCAUUGGAUGCCCUGUGUUGUGUGUAACAUCCCAGAUAUCUCCCCUACCUGGUGAAAGCUACCGCACUACCUGAUUACCACCGAAUCUGGACAUGUUGAGAAUGAUUAACUGUGUGAUUGAUUAAUUGAGUCAUAUGGAUGUUAUCUGUUAUAAUUCUAAAUUGUCUGCCGUGGAUGUCCCCAUAAACACAGGAGGCUUUGCCAAAUUUGAGUAUUUCGUAGAGUUGGUGGUAAUCAGAUAGUGUGUUAACAUCGCCAGGUAGGGGAGAUACCUGGGAUAUUAUACUGUGCUCAGAAUCUGCAAAAAAAACAAAAACGAGAAUGUCAGAAUCUGCAACUUGCACCAGAACAAUGCCAUUCCUGACAACAAUCUGUCUACCACGAUAUGUAUCUGGUAGGAAAGAACAUCAACCUUCACUCUCAGCAGCUGGUAUCCUUCAUGCCACACCAACUUUAUUUCUGGCAAUUUGGAAUACCAUUUCCACCAAGCAGGUCAGCUCUUCUUGGGAGCCAUAACCUCUAGUUCUUAGACAUGAUGUUAUGCUAAAAUAAAUGGCCCGAUUUGAAAUAGCAUGCAUUAAAACAAAGAAUCUCUGAAUCAAACAUACAGUGAGAUGUUAACAUUCUGUUGUUUAUAUUGGAUCCAUAAAUCACAAGGGAUUUUCUUGUGCAGGAAUUGCCCAAUGCACCUUUAUUCGUCAGUCUUCACAGUAUAUGUGCAACAUUGAAGUGCACCAAUCCAACCAUGGUUAUGUUUCAUUCGGCUAUAAGAAAUGCUGGGUAUCAAAUAUCGGGUAGCCAUGCGGAUCCGCUAGCUCUGAAAACAGAUGCGCCAAUGUCUGUAAUUUGGGACAUCAUGCGAUGUUGGGUAUGAUAGAAAUCUCAGAUUUUCUUGGUUAAUCAGACACAGCAGACUGUUUCCUUAAUUGGCUUCCUGUGCCUGCAGGUCAAGCUUCACCCGGUAAAAUCUCAACCUGAGAAUCUUCCAGGUAGCAGGAUACUUUCCCAAGAGCCUCAAUUGCAGGUAUAGAUCAUAAAACACAGCUUUGUAUCCUUUUAUGAACAUGAGAAGUAAAAUGUUUCUAUGCAAAAAUGAGUUACAUAUGCUUGCAAUUUAUUUGCUUAUUUUAAGCUUGAAUUUUUACUUUAUGGUGUUGUGAUCAGACAUCAGAAGCUUGUGUUUAUUUGUUGUAUUAAUCUGACAGAACUAUGUGAAGGUAACCAUGAGUGACUUGGACACAGUAUUAGUAUUCCACUCUUGUUAAGCUUGAGCUGAGCUAAGGGCUCUUCUCAUUAACGGCGCUCUGUUUCCCGAAUGUUUUAAUCGUUGUCUGAAUGUUAUGUUUAAAUGAAAGCAAGCCAUUCCUUGUACUGUUGGUGUUUGGUUUUAUGUAUCUCUGUUUUUCCUAGCACUAGUAAGCUCUCUGCUGGGAUUUCAAUUGGUACAAGUAACCAGAAGUGAUCAAUUUUUACUGGGUCCUAGCUCUCUCCUGGUAGAACCCUGUCUAUUUUGCUGGUUUUAAAUGUCUCUGGAUACUUUGGUCAAAAUUAUAGAAACCCAGCUGAAAUCUCCGAAACCAUCUGUAGAGACACCUCAAAUUAUUGUGCACAGAGACCUAAUACUGACCUGAUGUUGCGCUAACUGGAAGCAUACAAACUGUUUUAUUUUUUUAUUGGUUUAGAAGGAUCAAUUAUUGCUCUGUUUUGCACACCAGUCACAGUUUAGCCACCACUUUGUUCAUUCCAUAUGUUAAGGUAGGUGUUUUCCCUUCGCCGACAUAUAUUCCCCGACUUCCCGUGUAGUGAUUAUUCCAGAAAUAUGCUUAUCUGUGGACAGAUGUUAUAUAAACUAAGCAAUUAUACAAUUCGACCUUUCAUACUUCUGAAGCCUCUGUUAUUCCAUUCAGUAUUCCAGUUGAUUUCAGUGAUUACUUUCCUAUAUCUAAUUUGUGUCCCUUUUUUUUUACUCGUUUGACAACUACCAGGCAUCGUUCUCUCAAGCAACUGGGGGUUUAGUUGCACGGAAGAGCCCAAGAUUUCUACCUAAUCCUGAAAAACACUGGGGUCCUAAGAUGAAGGCCGGUAGACCACUGAAGAUACUUCCCAUUGACAAAUUGUAACUUUUUUUUUCUACUCUUGCUACACGAAGCUGGACAUGUGACAUUCUUUUUUAUUCUGAAAUGGAACAUAGAGAAAAUUCUGAAAAUCUAAUCUAUAGCCGUGUCCACACUUGCUACCCGGUGCGGCGGGUUUCUGUUGAUUCUGGGAUGUGAACCUAAGCACCUCACUGAACCAGCCCACAUGAAGAGGUUGGUCGAGGGUAUAUGAUCCCUCAGAUGAGUAUAUGUAACCGAAUGCUGAACCUGGUUGGUGGUUUCAUUACAUACGGAGCCGGGGAGGGCCUCCCUGUUUUUUCUAAAAAACAAUAACUGAUGCAUGCUCUGUAAAUAUGACAUUGUUCUUUGGUCUCCUUCGAGCUCGUCAUGCUGACUUACCUAUCAAGUGACUGAAUGGCCAGCCAUCUAUGCUGCACAUUAGUGAGAGCACAGAUGGGGUAUGAUGCAGGGAAACACCGUGCCAAAGAGGAGGAACUAGCAAGUGUAAAAUACAGGUGGUGUUGGUUAAUUCACGAAAGGGUCGAUGCUCUCACCAUUAUCUACUCUCCAAAUACUCCCUCUGUUUUUUUUACUUUGCAUAUAAGUUUUCUCUCAAGUCAAACUUCAUCAAGUUUGACCAAAAUUAUAGGAAAAAAUAUCAACAUUCAUCAUAUCAAAUAAAUGUAAUGCAUCAUGAAAUUAUAUUUUAUAUUGUACUCCCUCCGUUCCUAAAUAUAAGUCUUUGUAGAGAUUUCACUAUGGACUACAUACGGAGCAAAAUGAGUGAAUCUACACUCUAAAAUGCAUCUAUAUACAUCCGUAUGUGGUUCAUGGUGAAAUCUCUAUAAAGACUUAUAUUUAGGAACGGAGGGAGUAUAUCUUUAAUAUUAUAGACAUUCAUACUUUUAAGUAUAACUUUGGUCAAAAUUUAUGAAGUUUGUAUUCCUACAAAUAAGCUUUGCUAGGCCAAGGAAGAGCCCUUCUUUGGUUCAGUGAUUAACAACUAUCCAUUUGUCCGAGGAAUUUGAGCACACAAGGAAUAAGGUGAUUCCAAACAAGCGCCACACUUGCUUAGCAAGCAUUGCCAAGUUAAAAGAGUGAAUACCUCGAAACCUUCGCCCACAAAAAAAAUCUCAAAACCUCAUACCAGAUUUAUUGUUGGGAAAGCAUAACUUUCAUCACGCCCACCAAUGUAUUUUCUUGAUGUGUCCGUUGUCCCUCACUAUAAGUUGUGUCGUUAGAUAUAGCUUUGCAGACCUCUUUCAGCCAAAAAGAAAAAAAAAUUGAAACAUGGGCAAAAGGUUUUUCCGCAUUUCAAUACUUAAGAAGAAGCUUAAAGGUUAGAACACACGCCCGAGGGCGCCAAAACGACCUUAAAAGAACUACUGUUGCGACAUCACGAUUGUGUUGAAAUGUUUCGCACCGGCGAUGGCCCAACGAGCAGCCUCUCGGCGGAUGUUGGCGAGGAUAGCCAUCGGCGAAGCGUGCACAUUCUGGAACACCCUUGCCUUCCUCUCAGUUUCAGAUUCCCCAAAAUCCUAACCUAUGGGCGUGAUUAGGGGAGCGCCUGUCGAGGCGAUUUCGAGGCGACCGGAGGCGGGAUCCUGCGAUCCGGUGAUUACGACGGGAGAUUCUGAUCGAGAAGAAGGAGAUGGAUCAGGAAAAGGAUUGAGGACGCAGUGGGGAAGAGAGGAUCCACUAGGGUUGAGGGAUGAGUGGAUCAAAACCAGAGAGGCGGUCAAGCGGAUCGCAGGGCGAAGGAGGGCAGCCGACGGCAAUAGACAGAUGAUCACCGGGGACAAGGGAUUACCUUCCCCAGUACUAUGGAGAAAAUCAAGAAUAAGGUAGAUCAGAUGAGAAAGGAUUUGUCGGGAAGAUUGAUGGACGGAAUUCAUGAGCGUAUAGUUGAGGGCGGUGAAGGACCAAAGCAGAGGGAUCCCCAAGAUAAGGAUGCAGAUCAUAUCGACAAAGAGAUUGCUCAUACAACAAAGGAAAGAGACCAGAAGUUGCCUGCAACAAGAAGAUCUGUGCCAAGUAUUGAGGAUAAGUCUGGGUGUAUAAAGAGUCCGGUCGUGGCAGAGAAUCCACCUCACCUUUCAUCCAGUCCACACAAAGACAUAUACACCAAGAGCGGUUUUGCAAUGGCGGAUCGGUAUCUGGGCAAAAACAAGGCGACGAUGAUCUCCGGUGAGGAGGUCGACUCCAGCGGCAAGGAAGAGCUGGGCUCACGGCCGCUGCUUCGCGGCGGCUCAUCAAGGGGCCGGGACGACCUGUAUCGCACCCCCGCUGGCCUUCGAGAGGCGAACCAGGUGGUGGCCCCUAGUUUCCCAGUGAACAUGGGGGCGCCGGCACCAAGCGUGGUGGAACUGGACCUCUCUAGGGAGAGAGAGGCCAUGCGCUCCAGGUGGAUCGCAAUCGGGCUGUUCUUCUCGGUGCAGCUUUUCAGCAUCGGGGGACUUUUCGGCGAGCUCAGAGGCAAGGGUGGGCUGAGGGGUCGCCUCAGCUACACCUCACUGAAGAACAACCGUUUCCUGCUUGAGUUCGAGCGGGAGGGCGAUCUCCGGUUCAUCCUCAACAAUGGACCAUGGACGCAUAAGGGCGAUGCCUUCCUCAUGGUGGAGGUGGAUGGCAGCGCCCGCCCGGGUGACGUCGAGGUCGCCCACAUGCCGAUCUGGGUGCGCAUCUUCGACGCCCCCCAAUCAUGCUCUUUGAACACGUUGCUCGGGAGCUUGGAGCAGAACUUGGUAAGGUUCUGGAGGUAGAUGCGGAUAGGGAAGGUAGGAUUUGGGGGGACUACAUGAGGGUCCGCAUAAACCAUGAUGUCGAUGAACCCCUCCGUAGCGAACUAGAAUCACAUGAUCUGGCCAAGGGCAAAGUGUAUGUACUGAAUGUCAAGUAUGAGAGGUUGCCUAGGUUUUGUUGUUAUUGUGGUCACCUUGGACAUGGGCAGCGCGACUGUAAGCUGCCGGAGGACCUCCAAGAGAUGAGGUUCCCGGCAGCACUGCGCUCGUCCCCGUUCAGAAGGAGCAACCACAGGGGUGGGUUUGUAGUGCCAGAGGCAAGUAGCGCCCGUCGAUUUCUGCACUUUGGGACAGAAGACACCGGACCGGCAAAGACAGCACCGGCAAGGAUAGCAACUGAGAAAUACAACUCCGUGCCGGAUGAUGUGCUGACCGACCCGCUGGUGCAAAAGGCUAUUGAAGCGGUUAGUGCAUUCAGGUUGGAUGCAGAAAGGAUCAGGCAAGCGGGGCAAGGGCUGGUAUCACAGUAUGCUGGUCUAGAUGGUGCUAAAGCAGCUGGUGCUAUAACGAAGACGACAGAUGAAGACGGGACGAGCUCUAUACCCACCACCCCUAUUCAUGAUCCAGCAGCAUAUCAGGCCAAAGAAGAACAGAUGAGCCUCCCCCAAGGUCCACCACCUCCACUCCAGGUCACUGUGUUGGGGAACGUAGUAAUUUCAAAAAAAUUCCUACGCACAAGCAAGAUCAUGGUGAUGCAUAGCAACGAGAGGGGAGAGUGUUGUCCACGUACCCUCGUAGACCGAAAGCGAAAGCGUUUAUCACAACGCGGUUGAUGUAGUCGUACGUCUUCACGAUCUGACCGAUCAACUACCGAACGCACGGCACCUCCGAGUUCAGCGCACGUUCAGCUCGAUGACGUCCCUCGAACUCCGAUCUAGCCGAGUGUUGAGGGAGAGUUUCGUCAGCACGACGGCGUGGUGACGAUGAUGAUGUUCUAUCGACGCAGGGCUUCGCCUAAGCUCUGCAACGAUAUUAUCGAGGUGUAAUAUGGUGGAGGGGGGCACCGCACACGGCUAAAAUAUCGUAUAUCAAGUGUGUCUAGAGGUGCCCCCCUGCCCCCGCAUAUAAAGGAGCAAGGGGGAGGCCGGCUGCCUUUGGGCGCGCCAAGGAGAGGGGGGGAGUCCUCUUCCUAGUAGGAGUAGGACUCCCCUUUCCUAGUCCAACUAGGAAGAGAGGGGGGGGAAGGAAAGAGAGGGAGAGGGAGAGGGAAAGAGGGGCUGCGCCCCCUCCCCUAGUCCAAUUCGGACUCCUCAUGGGGGGGCGCCACCUCCUGGCUGCUGCCCUCUCUCUCCCCUCAAGGCCCACUAAGGCCCAAUACUUCCCCGGGGGGUUCCGGUAACCCCUCCGGCACUCCGGUUUUAUCCGAAACUUCUCCGGAACACUUCCGGUGUCCGAAUAUAGUCUUCCAAUAUAUCAAUCUUUAUGUCUCGACCAUUUCGAGACUCCUCGUCAUGUCCGUGAUCACAUCCGGGACUCCGAACAACCUUCGGUACAUCAAAACAUAUAAACUCAUAAUAUAACUAUCAUCGUAACUUUAAGCGUGCGGACCCUACGGGUUCGAGAACUAUGUAGACAUGACUGAGACACCUCUCCGGUCAAUAACCAAUAGCGGAACCUGGAUGCUCAUAUUGGUUCCUACAUAUUCUACGAAGAUCUUUAUCGGUCAGACCGCAUAACAACAUACGUUGUUCCCUUUGUCAUCGGUAUGUUACUUGCCCGAGAUUCGAUCGUCGGUAUCUCGAUACCUAGUUCAAUCUCGUUACCGGCAAGUCUCUUUACUCGUUCCGUAAUACAUCAUCCCGCAACUAACUCAUUAGUCACAAUGCUUGCAAGGCUUAUAGUGAUGUGCAUUACUGAGUGGGCCCAGAGAUACCUCUCCGACAAUCGGAGUGACAAAUCCUAAUCUCGAAAUACGCCAACCCAACAAGUACCUUUGGAGACACCUGUAGAGCACCUUUAUAAUCACCCAUUUACGUUGUGACGUUUGGUAGCACACAAAGUGUUCCUCCGGUAAACGGGAGUUGCAUAAUCUCAUAGUCAUAGGAACAUGUAUAAGUCAUGAAGAAAGCAAUAGCAACAUACUAAACGAUCGGGUGCUAAGCUAACGGAAUGGGUCAAGUCAAUCACGUCAUUCUCCUAAUGAGGUGAUCCCGUUAAUCAAAUGACAACUCAUGUCUAUGGCUAGGAAACAUAACCAUCUUUGAUUAACGAGCUAGUCAAGUAGAGGCAUACUAGUGACACAAUGUUUGUCUAUGUAUUCACACAUGUAUUAUGUUUUCGGUUAAUACAAUUCUAGCAUGAAUAAUAAACAUUUAUCAUGAUAUAAGGAAAUAAAUAAUAACUUUAUUAUUGCCUCUAGGGCAUAUUUCCUUCAGUCUCCCACUUGCACUAGAGUCAAUAAUCUAGAUUACACAGUAAUGAUUCUUACACCCAUGGAGUCUUGGUGCUGAUCAUGUUUUGCUCGUGGAAGAGGCUUAGUCAACGGGUCUGCAACAUUCAGAUCCGUAUGUAUCUUGCAAAUUUCUAUGUCUCCCACCUGGACUAAAUCCCGGAUGGAAUUGAAGCGUCUUUUGAUGUGCUUGGUUCUCUUGUGAAAUCUGGAUUCCUUUGCUAAGGCAAUUGCACCAGUAUUGUCACAAAAGAUUUUCAUUGGUCCCGAUGCACUAGGUAUGACACCUAGAUCGGAUAUGAACUCCUUCAUCCAGACUCCUUCAUUUGCUGCUUCCGAAGCAGCUAUGUACUCUGCUUCACACGUAGAUCCCGCCACGACACUUUGCUUAGAACUGCACCAACUGACAGCUCCACCGUUCAAUGUAAAUACGUAUCCGGUUUGCGAUUUAGAAUCGUCUGGAUCAGUGUCAAAGCUUGCAUCAACGUAACCACUUACGAUGAGCUCUUUGUCACCUCCAUAAACGAGAAACAUAUCCUUAGUCCUUUUCAGGUAUUUCAGGAUGUUCUUGACCGCUGUCCAGUGAUCCACUCCUGGAUUACAUUGGUACCUCCCUGCUAAACUUAUAGCAAGGCACACAUCAGGUCUGGUACACAGCAUUGCAUACAUGAUAGAGCCUAUGGCUGAAGCAUAGGGAACAUCUUUCAUCUUCUCUCUAUCUUCUGCAGUGGUCGGGCAUUGAGUCUUACUCAAUCUCACACCUUGUAGUACAGGCAAGAACCCUUUCUUUGCUUGAUCCAUUUUGAACUUCUUCAAAACUUUGUCAAGGUAUGUGCUUUGUGAAAGUCCAAUUAAGCAUCUUGAUCUAUCUCUAUAGAUCUUAAUGCCUAAUAUAUAUGCAGCUUCACCGAGGUCUUUCAUUGAAAAACUCUUAUUCAAGUAUCCCUUUAUGCUAUCCAGAAAUUCUAUAUCAUUUCCAAUCAGCAAUAUGUCAUCCACAUAUAAUAUCAGAAAUGCUACUGAGCUCCCACUCACUUUCUUGUAAAUACAGGCUUCUCCAAAAGUUUGUAUAAAACCAAAUGCUUUGAUCACACUAUCAAAGCGUUUAUUCCAACUCCGAUAGGCUUGCACCAGUCCAUAAAUAGAUCGCUGGAGCUUGCACACUUUGUUAGCUCCCUUUGGAUCGACAAAACCUUCCGGUUGCAUCAUAUACAACUCUUCUUCCAGAAAUCCAUUCAGAAUGCAGUUUUGACAUCCAUUUGCCAAAUUUCAUAAUCAUAAAAUGCGGCAAUUGCUAACAUGAUUCGGACAGACUUAAGCAUCGCUACGGGUGAGAAGGUCUCAUCGUAGUCAAUCCCUUGAACUUGUCGAAAACCUUUCGCAACAAGUCGAGCUUUAUAGACAGUAACAUUACCAUCAGCGUCAGUCUUCUUCUUGAAGAUCCAUUUAUUUUCAAUGGCUUGCCGACCAUCGGGCAAGUCAACCAAAGUCCAUACUUUGUUCUCAUACAUGGAUCCCAUCUCGGAUUUCAUGGCUUCAAGCCAUUUUGCGGAAUCUGGGCUCACCAUCGCUUCUUCAUAGUUCGUAGGUUCGACAUGGUCUAGUAACAUAACCUCCAGAACAGGAUUACCGUACCACUCUGGUGCAGAUCUUGAUCUAGUUGACCUACGAGGUUCAGUAAUAACUUGAUCUGAAGUUUCAUGAUCAUUAUCAUUAACUUCCUCACUAGUUGGUGUAGGUGUCGCAGAAACUGAUUUCUGCGAUGAUCUACUUUCCAAUAAGGGAGCAGGUACAGUUACCUCAUCAAGUUCUACUUUCCUCCCACUCACUUCUUUCGAGAGAAACUCCUUCUCUAGAAAGGAUCCAUUCUUAGCAACGAAUAUCUUGCCUUCGGAUCUGUGAUAGAAGGUGUACCCAACAGUCUCCUUUGGGUAUCCUAUGAAGACACAUUUCUCCGAUUGAGGUUCGAGCUUAUCAGGUUGAAGUUUCUUCACAUAAGCAUCGCAACCCCAAACUUUAAGAUACGACAACUUUGGUUUCUUGCCAAACCAUAGUUCAUAAGGUGUCGUCUCAACGGAUUUCGAUGGUGUCCUAUUUAGAGUGAAUGCAGCCGUCUCUAAAGCAUAACCCCAAAACGAUAGCGGUAAAUCAGUAAGAGACAUCAUAGAUCGCACCAUAUCUAAUAAAGUGCGAUUACGACGUUCGGACACACCAUUACGCUGUGGUGUUCCGGGUGGCGUGAGUUGCGAAACUAUUCCGCAUUGUUUCAAAUGUAGGCCAAACUCGUAACUCAAAUAUUCUCCUCCACGAUCUGAUCGUAGAAACUUUAUUUUCUUGUUAUGAUGAUUUUCAACUUCACUCUGAAAUUCUUUGAACUUUUCAAAUGUUUCAGACUUAUGUUUCAUUAAGUAGAUAUACCCAUAUCUGCUCAAAUCAUCUGUGAAGGUGAGAAAAUAACGAUAUCCGCCACGAGCAUCAAUAUUCAUCGAACCACAUACAUCUGUAUGUAUGAUUUCCAAUAAAUCUGUUGCUCUCUCCAUAGUUCCGGAGAACGGUGUUUUAGUCAUCUUGCCCAUGAGGCACGGUUCGCAAGUACCAAGUGAUUCAUAAUCAAGUGAUUCCAAAAGUCCAUCAGUAUGGAGUUUCUUCAUGCGCUUUACACCGAUAUGACCUAAACGGCAGUGCCACAAAUAAGUUGCACUGUCAUUAUCAACUCUGCAUCUUUUGGCUUCAACAUUAUGAAUAUGUGUGUCACUACUAUCGAGAUUCAUUAAAAAUAGACCACUCUUCAAGGGUGCAUGACCAUAAAAGAUAUUAUUCAUAUAAAUAGAACAACCAUUAUUUUCCGAUUUAAAUGAAUAACCGUCUCGCAUCAAACAAGAUCCAGAUAUAAUGUUCAUGCUCAACGCUGUCACCAAAUAACAAUUAUUUAGGUCUAAUACUAAUCCCGAAGGUAGAUGUAGAGGUAGCGUGCCGACGGCGAUCACAUCGACUUUGGAACCAUUUCCCACGCGCAUCGUCACCUCGUCCUUAGCCAAUCUUUGCUCAAUCCGUAGCCCCUGUUUCGAGUUGCAAAUAUUAGCAACAGAACUAGUAUCAAAUACCCAGGUGCUACUGCGAGCAUUAGUAAGGUACACAUCAAUAACAUGUAUAUCACAUAUACCUUUGUCAACCUUGCCAUCCUUCUUAUCCGCCAAAUACUUGGGGCAGUUCCGCUUCCAGUGUCUAAUCUGCUUGCAGUAGAAGCACUCAGUUUCAGGCUUAGGUCCAGACUUGGGUUUCUUCUCCUGAACAGCAACUUGCUUGCUGUUUUUCUUGAAGUUCCCCUUCUUCUUCCCUUUGCCCUUUUUCUUGAAACUAGUGGUUUUACUGACCAUCAACACUUGAUGCUCCUUUUUGAUUUCUACCUCCGCUGCCUUUAGCAUUGCGAAGAGCUCGGGAAUUGUCUUAUUCAUCCCUUGCAUGUUAUAGAUCAUCACGAAGCUCUUGUAGCUUGGUGGCAGUGAUUGAAGAAUUUUGUCAAUGACGCUAUCAUCCGGAAGAUUAACUCCCAGUUGAAUCAAGUGAUUAUUAUACCCAGACAUUUUGAGUAUAUGCUCACUGACAGAACUAUUCUCUUCCAUCUUGCAGCUAUAGAACUUAUUGGAGACUUCAUAUCUCUCAAUCCGGGCAUUUGCUUGAAAUAUUAACUUCAACUCCUGGAACAUCUCAUAUGCUCCAUGACGUUCAAAACGUCGUUGAAGACCCGGUUCUAAGCCGUAAAGCAUGGCACACUGAACUAUCGAGUAGUCAUCAGCUUUGCUCUGCCAGACGUUCAUAACUUCUGGUGUUGCUCUUGCAGGAGGCCUGGCACCUAGCGGUGCUUCCAGGACGUAAUUCUUCUGUGCAGCAAUGAGGAUAAUCCUCAAGUUACGGACCCAGUCCGUGUAAUUGCUACCAUCAUCUUUCAACUUNNNNNNNNNNUAUUGCUUUUACGACUAUCGCUACCGCUUAGUGAUAAAGUAAAACAAUUACAUGGCGAUUGCAUUGCAUACAAUAAAGCGACAACCAUAUGGCUCCUGCCAGUUGCCGAUAACUCGGUUACAAAACAUGAUCAUCUCAUACAAUAAAAUAUAGCAUCAUGUCUUGACCAUAUCACAUCACAACAUGCCCUGCAAAAACAAGUUAGACGUCCUCUACUUUGUUGUUGCAAGUUUUACGUGGCUGCUAUGGGCUUAGCAAGAACCGUUCUUACCUACGCAUCAAAACCACAACGAUAGUUUGUCAAGUUGGUGCUGUUUUAACCUUCGCAAGGACCGGGCGUAGCCACACUCGGUUCAACUAAAGUGAGAGAGACAGACACCCGCCAGUCACCUUUAAGCAACGAGUGCUCGCAACGGUGAAACCAGUCUCGCGUAAGCGUACGCGUAAUGUCGGUCCGGGCCGCUUCAUCUCACAAUACCGCUGAACCAAAGUAUGGCAUGCUGGUAAGCAGUAUGACUUAUAUCGCCCACAACUCACUUGUGUUCUACUCGUGCAUACCAUCAACGCAUAAAACCAGGCUCGGAUGCCACUGUUGUGGAACGUAGUAAUUUCAAAAAAUUGUUGGAAAUAUGCCCUAGAGGCAAUAAUAAAUUGGUUAUUAUUAUAUUUCCUUGUUCAUGAUAAUCGUUUAUUAUCCAUGCUAGAAUUGUAUUGAUAGGAAACUCAGAUACAUGUGUGGAUACAUAGACAACACCAUGUCCCUAGUAAGCCUCUAGUUGACUAGCUCGUUGAUCAAUAGAUGGUUACGGUUUCCUGACCAUGGACAUUGGAUGUCAUUGAUAACGGGAUCACAUCAUUAGGAGAAUGAUGUGAUGGACAAGACCCAAUCCUAAGCCUAGCACAAGAUCGUGUAGUUCGUUUGCUCAGAGCUUUUCUAAUGUCAAGUAUCAUUUCCUUAGACCAUGAGAUUGUGCAACUCCCGGAUACCGUAGGAAUGCUUUGGGUGUACCAAACGUCACAACGUAACUGGGUGGCUAUAAAGGUGCACUACAGGUAUCUCCGAAAGUGUCUGUUGGGUUGGCACGAAUCGAGACUGGGAUUUGUCACUCCGUGUAAACGGAGAGGUAUCUCUGGGCCCACUCGGUAGGACAUCAUCAUAAUGUGCACAAUGUGACCAAGGAGUUGAUCACGGGAUGAUGUGAGUUACGGAACGAGUAAAUAGACUUGCCGGUAACGAGAUUGAACAAGGUACCGGGAUACCGACGAUCGAAUCUCGGGCAAGUAACAUACCGAUAGACAAAGGGAAUUGCAUACGGGAUUGAUCGAAUCCCCGACAUCGUGGUUCAUCCGAUGAGAUCAUCGUGGAACAUGUGGGAGCCAACAUGGAUAUCCAGAUCCCGCUGUUGGUUAUUGACCGGAGAACGUCUCGGUCAUGUCUACAUGGUUCCCGAACCCGUAGGGUCUACACACUUAAGGUUCGAUGACGCUAGGGUUAUAGGGAAAAGAUAUACGUGGUUACCGAAUGUUGUUCGGAGUCCCGGAUGAGAUCCCGGACGUCAUGAGGAGUUCCGGAAUGGUCCGGAGGUAAAGAUUUAUAUAUGGGAAGUCCUGUUUUGGUCACCGGAAAGGUUUCGGGUGUUAUCAGUAAUGUACCGGGACCACCGGGAGGGUCCCGGGGGUCCACCAAGUGGGGCCACCAGCCCCAGAAGGCUGCGUGGGCCAAGUGUGGGAGGGGACCAGCCCCAGGUGGGCUGGUGCGCCCCCCCACCAAGGCCCAAGGCGCAUGGGAGAGUGGGAGGGGGCAAACCCUAGGUCCAGAUGGGCCUUAAGGCCCACCCUAGUGGCGCCCCCCUCCUCCCCUUGGCCGCCCCCCUAGGUGGGAUCUAGGGCUGGCCGCCAGCCCUUGGGGUGGAAACCCAAGAGGGGGCGCAGCCCCCUCCCCCCCUAUAUAUAGUUGAGGUUUGGGGCUGCCCAAGACAUGAGAACGUCUCUCUUUCGACGCAACCCUACCCCUCUCCCUCCUCCUCCUCUCCCGCGGUGCUUGGCGAAGCCCUGCAGGAUUGCCAAGCUCCUCCAUCACCACCACGCCAUCGUGCUGCUGCUGGAUGGAGUCUUCCCCAACCUCUCCCUCUCACCUUGCUGGAUCAAGGCGUGGGAGACGUCACCGGGCUGCACGUGUGUUGAACGCGGAGGCGCCGUGGUUCGGCGCUUAGAUCGGAAUCAACCGUGAUCUGAAUCGCUACGAGUACGACUCCCUCAUCCGCGUUCUUGCAAUGCUUCCGCAUCGCGAUCUACAAGGGUAUGUAGAUGCACUCCCCUUCCCCUCGUUGCUAGAUUACUCCAUAGAUUGAUCUUGGUGAUGCGUAGAAAAUUUUGAAUUUCUGCUACGUUCCCCAGCAGUGGCAUCAUGAGCUAGGUCUAUGCGUAGUUUCUAUGCACGAGUAGAACACAAAGCAGUUGUGGGCGUAGAUGUUGCCAAUUCUUCUUGCCGCUACUAGUCUUAUCUUUUUUCGGCGGCAUUGUGGGAUGAAGCGGCCCGGACCGACCUUACACGUACGCUUAUGUGAGACAGGUUCCACCGACUGACAUGCACUAGUUGCAUAAGGUGGCUAGCGGGUGUCUGUCUCUCCCACUUUAGUCGGAACGGAUUAGAUGAAAAGGGUCCUUAUGAAGGGUAAAUAGAAAUUGGCAUAUCACGUUGUGGUUUUACGUAGGUAAGAAACGUUCUUGCUAGAAACCUAUACAAGCCACGUAAAAACUUGCAACAACAAUUAGAGGACGUCUAACUUGUUUUUGCAGCAUGUGCUAUGUGAUGUGAUAUGGCCAGAAGAUGUGAUGAAUGAUAUAUGUGAUGUAUGAGAUUGAUCACAUUCUUGUAAUAAGAAUCACGACUUGCAUGUCGAUGAGUAUGACAACCGGCAGGAGCCAUAGGAGUUGUCUUAAUUUAUUUUAUGACCUGCGUGUCAAUGAAAACGCCAUGUAAUUACUGUACUUUAUUGCUAACCGUUAGCCAUAGUAGUAGAAGUAAUAGUUGGCGAGACAACUUCAUGAAGACACGAUUAUGGAGAUCAUGGUGUCAUGCCGGUGACAAAGAUGAUCAUGGUGCCCCGAAGAUGGAGAUCAAAGGAGCAAAAUGAUAUUGGCCAUAUCAUGUCACUACUUGAUUGCAUGUGAUGUUUAUCAUGUUAUGCAUCUUAUUUGCUUAGAAUGACGGUAGUAAGUAAGAUGAUCCCUUAUAAUAAUUUCAAGAGACGUGUUCCCCCUAACUGUGCACCGUUGCGAAGGUUCGUUGUUUCGAAGCACCACGUGAUGAUCGGGUGUGAUAGAUUCUAACGUUCGAAUACAACGGGUGUUGACGAGCCUAGCAUGUACAGACAUGGCCUCGGAACACAUGCAAAACACUUAGGUUGACUUGACGAGCCUAGCAUGUACAGACAUGGCCUCGGAACACAAGAGACCGAAAGGUCGAGCAUGAGUCGUAUAGAAGAUACGAUCAACAUGGAGAUGUUCACCGAUGAUGACUAGUCCGUCUCACGUGAUGAUCGGACACGGCCUAGUUUGACUCGGAUCAUGUAUCACUUAGAUGACUAGAGGGAUGUCUAUCUGAGUGGGAGUUCAUUAAUUAGAUGAACUUCAUUAUCAUGAACAUAGUCAAAAGGUCUUUGCAAAUUAUGUCAUAUGCUUUAGUUCUACUAUUUAAGAUAUGUUCCUAGAGAAAAUUUAGUUGAAAGUUGGUACUAGCAAUUAUGCGGACUGGGUCCGUAAACUGAGGAUUUUCCUCAUUGCUGCACAGAAGGCUUAUGUCCUUAAUGCACCGCUCGGUGUGCUGAACCUCAGCGUCGUCUGUAGAUGUUAAGAAACAUCUGACAUACACGUUUAGAUGACUACGUGAUAGUUCAGUGCAUAAUGCUAAUGGUUUAGAAUUGUGGCACCAGAGACGUUUUUGAAACGUCGGAGAACAUGUGAGAUGUUCCGAAGACUGAAAUUGGGAUUUCAGACUAGUGCCCACAUCAAGAGGUAUGAGACCUCUGACAAGUUUAUUAAGCCUGCAAACUAAGGGAGAAAAGCUCAAUCGUUGAGCAUGUGCUCAGAUUGUCUGAGUACUACAAUCGCUUGAAUCGAGUGGGAGUUAAUCUUCUAGAUGAGAUAGUGAUGGUUCUCCAUAAUCACUGCCACCAAGCUAUUAGAGCUUCGUGAUGAACUAUAAAUAUCAAGGAUAGAUGAUGAUCCUUGAGCAACUCGCGAUGUUUGACACCGCGAAAGUAGAAAUCAAGAAGGAGCAUCAAUUGUUGAUGGUUAGUAAAACCACUAAUUUCUAGAAGGGCAAGAGCAAAAGGGAUACUUCAUGAAACAACAAAUCGUUUGCUGCUCUAGUGAAGAAUCCCAAGGUUGAACCCAAACCCGAGACUAAGUGCUUCUGUAAUGAGGGGAACGGUCACUGAAGCAGUACUACCCUAGAUACUUGGUAGAUGAGAAGGCAGGCAAGGUCGACAGAAGUAUAUUGGAUAUACAUUAUAUGAAUGUGUACUUUACUAGUACUCCUAGCGGCACCAGGGUAUUAGAUACCGGUUCGGUUGCUAAGUGUUAGUAACUCGAAAUAAAAGCUGCGGAAUAAACGGAGACUAGCUAAAGGUGAGAUGAUGAUAUGUGUUGGAAGUGUUUCCAAGGUUGAUGUGAUCAAGCAUCGCAUGCUCCCUCUACCAUCGAGAUUUGGUGUUUGCGUUGAGCAUGAUUGGAUUAUGUUUAUCGCAAUACGGUUAUUCAUUUAAGGAGAAUAAUGGUUACUCUGUUUAUUUGAAUAAUAUCUUCAAUGGUCUUGCACCUAAAAUGAAUCUCGAUCGUAGUGAUACACAUGUUCAUGCCAAAAGUAAUGAUAGUACCACAUACUUGUGGCACUGCUAUUUGAGUCAUAUUGGGAUAAAACGCAUGAAGAAGCUCCAUGUAGAUGGAUCUUUGGACUCACUCGUUUUUGAAAAGAUUGAGACAUGCAAACCAUGUCUAUUGGUAUAUAUGCAUGAAGAAACUCCAUGCAGAUGGAUCGUUUGGACUCACUUGAUUUUGAAUCACUUGAGACAUGCAAAUCAUACCACAUGGGCAAGAUGACUGUAAGGCCUCGUUUUCAGUAAGAUGGAACAAGAGAGCAACUUAUUGGAAGUAAUACAUUUUGAUGUAUGCAGUCCAAUGAGUGCUGAGGCAUCCAGUGGAUAUCGUUAUGUUCUUACUUCACAGAUGGUUUGAGUAGAUGCUGAGUGUAUUUACUUGAUGAAACACAAGUCUGAAUUAUUGAAAGGUUCAAGUAAUUUCAGAGUAAAGUUGAAGAUCGUCGUGACAAGAGGAUAAAAUGUCUGUGAUAUGAUCAUAGAGAUGAGUAUCUGAGUUACGAGUUUGGCACACAAUUAAGACAUUGUGGAAAGUGUUUCACAAUUAAUACUGCCUGGAACACCAUAGUGUGAUGGUGUGUCCGAACAUCAUAACUGCACCCUAUUGGAUAUGGUGCAUGCCAUGAUGUCUCUUAUCGAAUUACCACUAUCGUUUAUGGGUUAGGCAUUAGAGACAACCGCAUUCACUUUAAAUAGGGCACCACGCAAUUCCGUUGAGACGACACCGUUUAGAGAAACCUAAGUUGUCGUUUCUUAAAAGUUUGGGGCUGCGAUGCUUAUGUGAAAAAGUUUCAGGCUGAUAAGCUCGAACCCAAAGCGGAUAAAUGCAUCUUCAUAGAAAACCCAAAACAGUUGGGUAUACCUCCUAUUUCAGAUCUGGAAGCAAAAGUAAUUGCUUCUAGAAACGAGUCCUUUCUCGAGGAAAAGUUUCUCUCGAAAGAAUUGAGUGGGAGGAUGGUGGAGACUUGAUAAGGUUAUUGAACCGUCACUUCAACUAGUGUGUAGCAGGGCACGGGAAGUUGUUCCUGUGGCACCUACACCAAUUGAAGUGGAAGCUUAUGAUGGUGAUCAUGAAACUUUGGAUCAAGUCACUACCAAACCUCGUAGGACGACGAGGAUGCGUAAUACUUCAGAGUAGUACGUGAUCCUGUCUUGGAAGUCAUGUUGUUGGACAACGAUGAACCUAUGAGCUAUGGAGAAGCGACGGUGGGCCCAUAUUCCGACAAAUGAAGCCAUGAAAUCCGAGAUAAAUGGAUCUUUAAGAAGAAGAUGAACGUGGACGGUAAGGUUACCGUCUAUGAAGCUCGACUUGUGGCAAAGAGUAUUUUCACAAGUUCAAGGAGUUGACUACGAUGAGAUUUUUCUCAUCCGUAGCGAUGCUUAAGUCCGUCGGAAUCAUGUUAGCAUUAGCUGCAUUUAUGAAAUCUGGCAGAUGGAUGUCAAAACAAGUUUCCUUACCAGUUUUCGUAAGGAAAGGUUGUAUGUGAUACAAUCAGAAAGGUUUUGUCGAUCCUAAGGAUGCUAAAAGGUAUGCUAGCUCCAGCGAUCCUUCCAUGGACUAGAGCAAGCAUCUCGGAGUCAGAAUAUACGCUUUGAUGGAGUGAUCAAAGUUUUUGGGUUUAUACAAAGUUUGUUGGAAACUUGUAUUUACAAUAAAGUGAGUGGGAGCGCUACAACAUUUCUGAUAAGUAUAUGUGAAUGACAUAUUGUUGAUCCGAAAUGAUGUAAAAUUUCUGGAAAGCAUAAAGGGUUGUUUGAAAGGAGUUUUUCAAAGGAAGACCUGGAUAAAGCUGCUUACAUAUUGGGCAUCAAGAUCUAUAGAGAUAGAUCAAGACGCCUGAUGAUACUUUCAAAAAGAACGCACACUUUGACAUGAUUUUGAAAGAGUUCAAAAUAGAUCAGCAAAGAAGGAGUUCUUGGCUGUGUUACAAGGUGUGAGUAUUGAGUAAGACUCAAGACCUGACCACAGCAGGAAAGAGAGAAAGGAUGAAGGUCGUCCCCUAUGCUUUAGACGUAGGCUCUAUAGUAUGCUAUGCUGUGUACCGCACAUGUAGUGUGCCUUGCCAUGAGUUGGUCAAGGGGUACAAUAGUGAUCCGGGAAUGGAUCACAUGACAGCGGUCGAACUUAUCCUUAGUAUCUAGUGGACUAAGGAAUUUUCUCGAUUAUGGAGGUGAAAAGGAGUUCGUCGUAAAGGGUUACGUCGAUGCGAACUUUGACACUAAUCCGGAUGGCUCUGAGUAGUAAACCGGAUUCGUAUAGUAGAGCAAUUAUUUGAAAUGGCUCCAAGUAGCGCGUGGUAGCAUCCACAAGAUGACAUAGAUAUUCGUAAAGCACACACGGAUCUGAAAGGUUCAGACCCGUUGACUAAUAUCCUCUCUCACAAGCAUAACAUGAUCAAACCAGAACUCAUUGACUCUAGAUUGUUGACUCUAGUAAACUCUUGGGUGUUGGUCACAUGGUGAUGUGACCUAUGAGUGUUAAUCACAUGGUGAUGUGGACUAGAUUAUUGACUCUAGUGCAAGUGGGAGACUGUUGGAAAUAUGCCCUAGAGGCAAUAAUAAAUUGGUUAUUAUUAUAUUUCCUUGUUCAUGAUAAUCGUUUAUUAUCCAUGCUAGAAUUGUAUUGAUAGGAAACUCAGAUACAUGUGUGGAUACAUAGACAACACCAUGUCCCUAGUAAGCCUCUAGUUGACUAGCUCGUUGAUCAAUAGAUGGUUACGGUUUCCUGACCAUGGACAUUGGUGUCAUUGAUAACGGGAUCACAUCAUUAGGAGAAUGAUGUGAUGGACAAGACCCAAUCCUAAGCCUAGCACAAGAUCGUGUAGUUCGUUUGCUCAGAGCUUUUCUAAUGUCAAGUAUCAUUUCCUUAGACCAUGAGAUUGUGCAACUCCCGGAUACCGUAGGAAUGCUUUGGGUGUACCAAACGUCACAACGUAACUGGGUGGCUAUAAAGGUGCACUACAGGUAUCUCCGAAAGUGUCUGUUGGGUUGGCACGAAUCGAGACUGGGAUUUGUCACUCCGUGUAAACGGAGAGGUAUCUCUGGGCCCACUCGGUAGGACAUCAUCAUAAUGUGCACAAUGUGACCAAGGAGUUGAUCAUGGGAUGAUGUGAGUUACGGAACGAGUAAAUAGACUUGCCGGUAACGAGAUUGAACAAGGUACCGGGAUACCGACGAUCGAAUCUCGGGCAAGUAACAUACCGAUAGACAAAGGGAAUUGCAUACGGGAUUGAUCGAAUCCCCGACAUCGUGGUUCAUCCGAUGAGAUCAUCGUGGAACAUGUGGGAGCCAACAUGGGUAUCCAGAUCCCGCUGUUGGUUAUUGACCGGAGAACGUCUCGGUCAUGUCUACAUGGUUCCCGAACCCGUAGGGUCUACACACUUAAGGUUCGAUGACGCUAGGGUUAUAGGGAAAAGAUAUACGUGGUUACCGAAUGUUGUUCGGAGUCCCGGAUGAGAUCCCGGACGUCAUGAGGAGUUCCGGAAUGGUCCGGAGGUAAAGAUUUAUAUAUGGGAAGUCCUGUUUUGGUCACCGGAAAGGUUUCGGGUGUUAUCGGUAAUGUACCGGGACCACCGGGAGGGUCCCGGGGGUCCACCAAGUGGGACCACCAGCCCCAGAAGGCUGUGUGGGCCAAGUGUGGGAGGGGACCAGCCCCAGGUGGGCUGGUGCGCCCCCCACCAAGGCCCAAGGCGCAUGGGAGAGUGGGAGGGGGCAAACCCUAGGUCCAGAUGGGCCUUAAGGCCCACCCUAGUGGCGCCCCCCCUCUCCUCCCGUUGGCCACCCCCCUAGGUGGGAUCUAGGGCUGGCCGCCAGCCCUUGGGGUGGAAACCCUAGAGGGGGCGCAGCCCCCCCCCCCCCUAUAUAUAGUUGAGGUUUGGGGCUGCCCAAGACAUGAGAACGUCUCUCUUUCGGCGCAGCCCUACCCCUCUCCCUCCUCCUCCUCUCCCGCGGUGCUUGGCGAAGCCCUGCGGGAUUGCCACGCUCCUCCAUCACCACCAUGCCGUCGUGCUGCUGCUGGAUGGAGUCUUCCCCAACCUCUCCCUCUCACCUUGCUGGAUCAAGGCGUGGGAGACGUCACCGGGCUGCACGUGUGUUGAACGCGGAGGCGCCGUGGUUCGGCGCUUAGAUCGGAAUCAACCGCGAUCUGAAUUGCUACGAGUAUGACUCCCUCAUCCGCGUUCUUGCAACGCUUCCGCAUCGCGAUCUACAAGGGUAUGUAGAUGCACUCCCCUUCCCCUCGUUGCUAGAUUACUCCAUAGAUUGAUCUUGGUGAUGCGUAGAAAAUUUUGAAUUUCUGCUACGUUCCCCAACAAAAAUUUCCUACGCACAUGCAAGAUCAUGGUGAUGCAUAGCAACGAGAGGGGAGAGUGUUGUCCACGUACCCUCGUAGCCCGAAAGCGGAAGCGUUUAUCACAACGCGGUUGAUGUAGUCGUACGUCUUCACGAUCCGACCGAUCAAGUACCGAACGCACGACACCUCCGAGUUCAGCACACGUUCAGCUCGAUGACGUCCCUCGACCUCCGAUCCAGCCUAGUGUUGAGGGAGAGUUUCGUCAGCACGACGGCGUGGUGACGAUGAUGAUGUUCUAUUGACGCAGGGCUUCGCCUAGGCUCCGCAACGAUAUUAUUGAGGUGUAAUAUGGUGGAGGGGGCCACCGCACACGGCUAAAAUAUCGUAUAUCAAGUGUGUCUAGAGGUGCCCCCUGCCCCCGUAUAUAAAGGAGCAAGGGGGAGGCCGGCUGCCUUUGGGCGCGCCAAGGAGAGGGGGGAGUCCUCCUCCUAGUAGGAGUAGGACUCCCCUUUCCUAGUCCAACUAGGAAGAGAGGGGGGGAGGAAAGAGAGGGAGAGGGAAAGAGGGGCUGCGCCCCCUCCCCUAGUCCAAUUCGGACUCCUCAUGGGGGGGGGCGCCACCUCCUGGCUGCUGCCCUCUCUCUCCCCUCAAGGCCCACUAAGGCCCAAUACUUCCCCGGGGGGUUCCGGUAACCCCUCCGGCACUCCGGUUUUAUUCGAAACUUCUCCGGAACACUUCCGGUGUCCGAAUAUAGUUGUCCAAUAUAUCAGUCUUUAUGUCUCGACCAUUGGAGAAUCCUCAUCAUGUCCGUGAUCACAUCCGGGACUCCGAACAACCUUCGGUACAUCAAAACAUAUAAACUCAUAAUAUAACUGUCAUCGUAACUUUAAGCGUGCGGACCCUACGGGUUCGAGAACUAUGUAGACAUGACCGAGACACCUCUCUGGUCAAUAACCAAUAGCGGAACCUGGAUGCUCAUAUUGGUUCCUACAUAUUCUACGAAGAUCUUUAUCGGUCAGACCGCAUAACAACAUACGUUGUUCCCUUUGUCAUCGGUAUGUUACUUGCCCGAGAUUCGAUCGUCGGUAUCUCGAUACCUAGUUCAAUCUCGUUACCGGCAAGUCUCUUUACUCGUUCCGUAAUACAUCAUCCCGCAACUAACUCAUUAGUCACAAUGCUUGCAAGGCUUAUAGUGAUGUGCAUUACUGAGUGGGCCCAGAGAUACCUCUCCGACAAUCGGAGUGACAAAUCCUAAUCUCGAAAUACGCCAACCCAACAAGUACCUUUGGGGACACCUGUAGAGCACCUUUAUAAUCACUCAUUUACGUUGUGACGUUUGGUAGCACACAAAGUGUUCCUCCGGUAAACGGGAGUUGCAUAAUCUCAUAGUCAUAGGAACAUGUAUAAGUCAUGAAGAAAGCAAUAGCAACAUACUAAACGAUCGGGUGCUAAGCUAACGGAAUGGGUCAAGUCAAUCACGUCAUUCUCCUAAUGAGGUGAUCCCGUUAAUCAAAUGACAACUCAUGUCUAUGGCUAGGAAACAUAACCAUCUUUGAUUAACGAGCUAGUCAAGUAGAGGCAUACUAGUGACACGCUGUUUGUCUAUGUAUUCACACAUGUAUUAUGUUUCCGGUUAAUACAAUUCUAGCAUGAAUAAUAAACAUUUAUCAUGAUAUAAGGAAAUAAAUAAUACUUUAUUAUUGCCUCUAGGGCAUAUUUCCUUCACACUGGGGGAACAAACAGAGAUGGGAAGGCUGUCAAAUCCAACGUAGCUGAGAACACAGAACAAAUCACUCAAAGCCCUAUGUACCCCCCGGGUUUUAAACCAGGGUCGCAGGUGGGUCUUGGGGGAACGGAUGCGAAUGGAGUUAACGGGACACUUAUGCAAGAUGGAGGCAAAGAGAUGGUGCAGAAGGAUGGAGGAGGAACAAAAGAGAACAGGGUGGAUCCGAUGCAGGGAAGAGUGAAGACCCAGGGGCAAGUUCAGGACAGGAACCUGAAGAUGGCAGUGGGGGAUACAGUUUCAGUUCUGGGAAAAAGAGGUGAACGUGCGAUAGGAGCAAACUUAACUGGUGCUGCUAGGGAUGUUACAAAGGGCACUAUCCAGAACAAGAAGAAGAAGUGGGCCAGCAAGAACAAUGGAAAGGAUGACAAGGGUAAGCCAGGUGGAAAGGAAGCAACCGAGCUUGGGGCUCUCGGUCAACUGGUGGAUGCCAAGGAGGGCGUCCACCAGGAGCCAUGACACUCCUAAGUUGAAACUGUCGGGGCCUAGGGCAACCCCGCACGGUUCAUGAACUAGUGCAACUAGUGCACACGCAUAAGCCCAAAUUAGUUUUUAUCUCGGAGACAAGACAAAGCAGUGAGAGAGUGAAUAAUUUGAGGUGGAGGCUUGGCCUCAAGCAUUGUAUUGUGCAACCGGGCUCCGGUAAAGGUGCCGGCAUUGCAAUCUUCUAUGAUGAGAGUGUUGAAAUAAAAGAACUUGGCGUUGGCCCGAGGUACAUCGAUGUGUUGAUCCACCUGUGUCCAAACGGGGUUCAAUGGAGGGGUACUUUUGUGUACGGAGAGCCGAAAACACAUGAGAGGCACCAUAUGUGGGAACUCCUGAGAAGAAUCCGAAAUAAUGCAGCUGAACCGUGGCUAAUGAUAGGGGACUUUAACGAGGCUAUGUGGCAAAGCGAGCAUCUAUCCAGAGCUAAGAGAUCAGAGAAAGGUAUGGCUGAGUUCAGAUCGCUGCUGUCAGACUGUAAUCUACAUGAUAUGGGUUACAAAGGUAUAGUAUGGACCUAUGAUAACAAACAACGUGGCCAGAAUAAUGUGAAGGUUCGGCUAGAUAGAGGAGUAGCGAGCCCAGAUUGGAGCAGUUUAUUUAAACAGGCUACGAUAGAGCAUCUAGUCACAUCGAGAUCUGAUCACGUACCCCUACUGCUCCGCUUUGGGGCAAGAAAAGAGUGGCGACCAAUCAAAAGAAAUUUCAGGUAUGAGUGUAUGUGGGAACGAGCAAGAGACCUGCCGGUGGUGAUAAAUGAAGCCUGGACAGGGGGUGGAAAGGGAUGUUCACUAGCUGAUAUCACAAAGAAACUGAGAAACAUGUAGGAUGUGUUGAGCAAAUGGGCGAGCAGAGAGUUCAAUUCUGUACAGAGUAAAAUAAGGGCUCUCCGAGAUAGAUUGAAGGGGUUGUACUCGCUGCAGCUUACACCAGAGGUCGAAGAUAAAAUAAAAAGAACAGAAAGUGAGAUUGAUGAAUGGCUCUAUAGGGAAGAAAUGAUGUGGAGACAACGCUCUCGAAUAACUUGGUUGAGGGAAGGAGAUAGGAACACUGAGUUUUUCCAUAGAAGGGCCACCUGGAGAAGGAAAAAGAAUAAGAUUACAAAACUUCGCAAAGGAGACGAAAGCUGGGCGGAGAGGGAAGAGGAGAUACACCAAGAAAUAAAUAGUUUCUUUAAGGAACUGUACAAAAAAGAUGAGCAGGUUGAACCCACCGAGCUGUUGGAUUUGAUUCCCCAAAGAGUGGAUGAACGGAUGAAUGCAAGCCUCACAAAGGAAGUUACGGAUGAGGAGAUAGGAGAUGCACUAUUCCAAAUCGGCCCACUCAAAGCCCCCGGGCCGAAUGGAUUUCCAGCACGGUUCUAUCAACGAAACUGGCUGAUUCUGAAGGAAGAUGUCGCGAGAGGAGUUAAAUUCUUUUUUGCAGAUGGAGUAAUGCCCGAAGGUGUAAACAAUACCGUUAUUGUGCUGAUUCCGAAGGGAAAGAACCCGUCAAGCAUCAAGGACUACAGACCAAUCAGCCUUUGUAAUGUCCUUUAUAAAGUGAUCUCCAAAAUCCUAGUAAACCGUCUACGCCCUUUCCUUGAUGAUCUCAUAUCAGAAACACAGAGUGCUUUCAUCCCGGGGAGGAUGAUCACGGAUAACUCCCUCAUUGCCUUCGAAUGCUUCCACAAAAUUCAACACAGUAAAAAUCAGAGAGACAAUCACUGCGCGUAUAAACUGGAUCUGGCAAAAGCAUAUGACAGAGUUGAUUGGAACUUCCUGGAAGGGGUAAUGGGGAAGUUAGGCUUUGAACAGAAGUGGAUCAAGUGGGUGAUGACAUGUGUUCGAUCGGUUACUUUCUCAGUCAGAUGCAACGGGUCUUUACUGGAAGCUUUCUUACCGACCAGAGGACUGUUGGGGAACGUAGUAAUUUCAAAAAAAUUCCUACGCACACGCAAGAUCAUGGUGAUGCAUAGCAACGAGAGGGGAGAGUGUUGUCCACGUACCCUCGUAGACCGACAGCGGAAGCGUUAUCACAACGCGGUUGAUGUAGUCGUACGUCUUCACGAUCCGACCGAUCAAGUACUGAACGCACGGCACCUCCGAGUUCUACACACGUUCAGCUCGAUGACGUCCCUCGAACUCCGAUCCAGCCGAGUGUUGAGGGAGAGUUUCGUCAGCACGACGGCGUGGUGACGAUGAUGAUGUUCCACCGACGCAGGGCUUCGCCUAAGCUCCGCAACGGUAUUAUCGAGGUGUAAUAUAGUGGAGGGGGGCACCGCACACGGCUAAGAGAUCUCAAGGGUCAAUUGUUGUUUCUCUGGGGUGCCCCCCUGCCCCCGUAUAUAAAGGAGCAAGGGAGGAGGAGGCCGGCCCUAGGAGGGGGCGCACCAAGUGUGGAGUCCUACUAGGACUCCCUAGUCCUAGUAGGAUUCCACCUCCCAUAUGAAAUAGAAAAAGAGGAAGGGAAAAAGAGAAGGAAGGAAGGGGGCGCCACCUUCCCUAGUCCAAUUCGGACCAGACCAAGGGGAGGGGUGUGGCCACCCUUGAGGCCCUUUUCCUUCUUUCCCGUAUGGCCCAAUAAGGCCCAAUACGUAUUCCCGUAACUCUCCGGUACUCCGAAAAAUACCCGAAUCACUUGGAACCUUUCCGAAGUCCGAAUAUAGUCGUCCAAUAUAUCGAUCUUUACGUCUCGGCCAUUUCGAGACUCCUCGUCAUGUCCCCAAUCUCAUCCGGGACUCCGAACUCCUUCGAUACAUCAAAACUCAAUAAAACUGUCAUCGUAACGUUAAGCGUGCGGACCCUACGGGUUCGAGAACUAUGUAGACAUGACCGAGACACGUCUCCGGUCAAUAACCAAUAGCGGGACCUGGAUGCCCAUAUUGGCUCUCACAUAUUCUACGAAGAUCUUUAUCGGUCAGACCGCAUAACAACACACGUUGUUUCCUUUGUCACCGGUAUGUUACUUGCCCGAGAUUUGAUCGUCGGUAUCUCGAUACCUAGUUCAAUCUCGUUAUCGGCAAGUCUCUUUACUCGUUCCGUAACACAUCAUCCCGCAACUAACUCAUUAGUCACAAUGCUUGCAAGGCUUAUAGUGAUGUGUAUUACCGAGUGGGCCCAGAGAUACCUCUCCGACAAUCGGAGUGACAAAUCCUAAUCUCGAAAUACGCCAACCCAACAAGUACCUUUGGAGACACCUGUAGAGUACCUUUAUAAUCACCCAUUUACGUUGUGACGUUUGGUAGCACACAAAGUGUUCCUCCGGUAAACGGGAGUUGCAUAAUCUCAUAGUCAUAGGAACAUGUAUAAGUCAUGUAGAAAGCAAUAGCAACAUACUAAACGAUCGAGUGCUAAGCUAACGGAAUGGGUCAAGUCAAUCACGUCAUUCUCCUAAUGAGGUGAUAUCGUUAAUCAAAUGACAACUUAUGUCUAUGGCUAGGAAACAUAACCAUCUUUGAUUAACGAGCUAGUCAAGUAGAGGCAUACUAGUGACACUCUGUUUGUCUAUGUAUUCACACAUGUAUUAUGUUUUCGGUUAUACAAUUCUAGCAUGAAUAAUAAACAUUUAUCAUGAUAUAAGGAAAUAAAUAAUAACUUUAUUAUUGCCUCUAGGGCAUAUUUCCUUCAGUCUCCCACUUGCACUAGAGUCAAUAAUCUAGUUCACAUCGCCAUGUGAUUUAACAUGAAUAGUUCACAUCACCAUGUGAUUAACACCCAUAGUUCACAUCGUCAUGUGACCAUCACCCAAAGGGUUUACUAGAGUCAGUAAUCUAGUUCACAUCGCUAUGUGAUUAACACUCAAAGAGUACUAAGGUGUGAUCAUGUUUUGCUUGUGAGAUAAUUUUAGUCAACGGGUCUGUCACAUUCAGAUCCGUAAGUAUUUUGCAAAUUUCUAUGUCUACAAUGCUCUGCAUGGAGCUACUCUAGCUAAUUGCUCCCACUUUCAAUAUGUAUCUAGACCGAGACUUAGAGUCAUCUAGAUUAGUGUCAAAACUUGUAUCGACGUAACCUUUUACGACGAGCCUUUUGUCACUUCCAUAAUCGAGAAACAUAUCCUUAUUCUAGUAAGGAUAAUUUUGACCGUUGUCCAGUGAUCUACUCCUAGAUCACUAUUGUACUCCCUUGCCAAAAUCAGUGUAGGGUAUACAAUAGAUCUGGUACAUAGCAUGGCAUACUUUAUAGAACCUAUGGCCGAGGCAUAGGGAAUGACUUUCAUUCUUUUUCUAUCUUCUGCCGUGGUCGGGUUUUGAGUCUUACUCAAUUUCACACCUUGUAACACAGGCAAGAAACUCUUUCUUUGACUGUUCCAUUUUGAACCACUUCAAAAUCUUGUUAAGGUAUGUACUCAUUGAAAAAACUUAUCCAGCGUCUUGAUCUAUCUCUAUAGAUCUUGAUGCUCAAUAUGUAAGCAGCUUCACCGAGAUCUUUCUUUGAAAAACUCCUUUAUGCUUUGCAGAAUAAUUCUACAUUAUUUCCGAUCAACAAUAUGUCACUUACAUAUACUUAUCAGAAAUGUUGUAGUGCUCCCACUCACUUUCUUGUAAAUACAGGCUUCACCGCAAGUCUGUAUAAAACUAUAUCCUUUGAUCAACUUAUCAAAGCGUAUAUUCCUACUCUGAGAUGCUUGCACCAGUCCAUAGAUGGAUCGCUGGAGCUUGCAUAUUUUGUUAGCACCUUUAGGAUUGACAAAACCUUCUGGUUGCAUCAUAUACAACUCUUCUUUAAUAAAUCCAUUAAGGAAUGCAGUUUUGUUUAUCCAUUUGCCAGAUUUCAUAAAAUGCGACAAUUGCUAACAUGGUUCGGACAGACUUAAGCAUCGCUGCGAGUGAGAAAAUCUCAUCGUAGUCAACACCUUGAACUUUGUCAAAAACCUUUUUCCGACAAGUCUAGCUUUGUAGAUAGUAACACUACUAUCAGCGUCCGCCUUCCUCUUGAAGAUCCAUUUAUUUUCUAUGGCUUGCCGAUCAUCGGGCAAGUCAACCAAAGUCCACACUUUGUUCUCAUACAUGGAUCCCAUCUCAGAUUUCAUGGCCUCAAGCCAUUUUGCGGAAUCUGGGCUCACCAUCGCUUCUUCAUAGUUCGUAGGUUCGUUAUGGUCUAGUAACAUAACCUCCAGAACAGUAUUACCGUACCACUCUGGUGCGGAUCUUACUCUGGUUUACCUACGAGGUUUGGUAGUAACUUGAUCUGAAGUUACAUGAUCAUCAUCAUUAACUUCCUCACUAAUUGGUGUAGGAGUCACAGGAACAGAUUUCUGUGAUGAACUACUUUCCAAUAAGGGAGCAGGUACAGUUACCUCAUCAAGUUCUACUUUCCUCCCACUCACUUCUUUCGAGAGAAACUCCUUCUCUAGAAAGGAUCCAUACUAAGCAACGAAUGUCUUGCCUUCGGAUCGGUGAUAGAAGGUGUACCCAACUGUCUCCUUUGGGUAUCCUAUGAAGACACAUUUCUCCGAUUUGGGUUUGAGCUUAUCAGGAUGAAACCUUUUCACAUAAGCAUCGCAACCCCAAACUUUUAAGAAACGACAACUUUGGUUUCUUGCUAAACCACAGUUCAUAAGGCGUCGUCUUAACGGAUUUUGAUGGUGCCCUAUUUAACGUGAAUGCAGCUGUCUCUAAUGCAUAACCCCAAAACGAUAGUAGUAGAUCGGUAAGAGACAUCAUAUAUCGCACCAUAUCUAAUAAAGUACGAUUACGAUGUUCAGACACACCAUUACACCGUGGUGUUCCAGGUGGCGUGAAUUUGUGAAACUAUUCCACAUUGUUUUAAUUGAAGACCAAACUCGUAACUCAAAUAUUUGUCUCCGCGAUCAAAUCAUAGAAACCUUAUUUUCUCGUCACGAUGAUUUUCUACUUCACUCUGAAAUUCUUUGAACUUUUCAAAUGCUUCAGACUUAUGUUUCAUCAAGUAGAUAUACCCAUAUCUGCUCAAAUCAUCUGUGAAGAUCAGAAAAUAAUGAUACCUGCUACGAGCCUCAAUAUUCAUCGGACCACAUACAUCUGUAUGUAUGAUUUCCAACAAAUCUGUUGCUCUCUCCAUAGUUCCGGAGAACGGCGUUUUAGUCAUCUUGCCCAUGAGGCACAGUUCGCAAGCAUCAAGUGAUUCAUAAUCAAGUGAUUCCAAAAUCCCAUCAGUAUGGAGUUUCUUCAUGCGCUUUACACCAAUAUGACCUAAACGGUAGUGCCACAAAUAAGUUGCAGUAUCAUUAUUAACUUUGCAUAUUUUGGCUUCAUUAUUAUGAAUAUGUGUAUCACUACGAUCGAGAUCCAACAAACCAUUUUCGUUGGUGUGUAUGACCAUAGAAGGUUUUUAUUCAUGUAAACAGAACAACAAUUGUUCUCUAACUUAAAUGAAUAACCGUAUUGCAAUAAACAUGAUCAAAUCAUAUUCAUGCUCAACGCAAACACCAAAUAACACUUAUUUAGUUUCAACACUAAUCCCGAAAGUAUAGGGAGUGUGCGAUAAUGAUCAUAUCAAUCUUGGAACUACUUCCAACACACAUCGUCACCUCGCCUUUUACUAGUCUCUGUUUAUUCUGCAACUCCCGUUUUCGAGUUACUACUCUUUAGCAACUAAACCAGUAUCAAAUACUGAGGGGUUUCUAUCAACACUAGUAAGUACACAUCAAUAACAUGUAUAUCCAAUAUACCUUUGUUCACUUUGCCAUCCUUCUUAUCCACCAAAUACUUGGGGCAGUUCCGCCUCCAGUGACCAGUUCCUUUGCAGUAGAAGCGCUUAGUCUCAGGCUUAGGUACAGACUUGGGCUUCUUCACUUGAGUAGCAACUUGCUUGCCGUUCUUUUUGAAGUUCCCCUUCUUCCCUUUGCCCUUUUCUUGAAACUAGUGGUCUCGUCAACCAUCAACACUUGAAGUGGUCUCGUCAACCAUCAACACUUGAUGUUUUUCUUGAUUUCUACCUUCGUCGAUUUCAGCAUCACGAAGAGCUCGGGAAUUACUUUCGUCAUCCCUUGCAUACUAUAGUUCAUCACGAAGUUCUACUAACUUGGUGAUGGUGACUAGAGAAUUCUGUCAAUCACUAUUUUAUCUGGAAGAUUAACUCCCACUUGAUUCAAGCGAUUGUAGUACCCAGACAAUCUGAGCACAUGCUCACUAGUUGAGCGAUUCUCCUCCAUCUUUUAGCUAUAGAACUGUUGGAAAUAUGCCCUAGAGGCAAUAAUAAAUGGUUAUUAUUAUAUUUCUUUGUUCAUGGUAAUUGUCUAUUGUUCAUGCUAUAAUUGUAUUGUCCGGAAAUCGUAAUACAUGUGUGAAUACAUAGACCACAACCUGUCCCUAGUAAGCCUCUAGUUGACUAGCUCGUUGAUCAACAGAUAGUCAUGGUUUCCUGACUAUGGACAUUGGAUGUCAUUGAUAACGGGAUCACAUCAUUAGGAGAAUGAUGUGAUGGACAAGACCCAACUUAAGCAUAGCAUAAAAGAUCGUGUAGUUUCGUUUGCUAGAGCUUUUCCAAUGUCAAGUAUCUUUUCCUUAGACCAUGAGAUCGUGCAACUCCCGGAUACCGUAGGAGUGCUUUGGGUGUGCCAAACGUCACAACGUAACUGGGUGACUAUAAAGGUGCAUUACGGGUAUCUCCGAAAGUGUCUGUUGGGUUGGCACGGAUCGAGACUGGGAUUUGUCACUCCGUGUGACGGAGAGGUAUCUCUGGGCCCACUCGGUAAUGCAUCAUCAUAAUGAGCUCAAUGUGACUAAGGCGUUAGUCACGGGAUCAUGCAUUGCGGUACGAGUAAAGAGACUUGCCGGUAACGAGAUUGAACAAGGUAUUGGGAUACCGACGAUCGAAUCUCGGGCAAGUAACAUACCGAUUGACAAAGGGAAUUGCAUACGGAUUGAUUGAAUCCUCGACACCGUGGUUCAUCAGAUGAGAUCAUCGUGGAGCAUGUGGGAGCCAACAUGGGUAUCCAGAUCCCGCUGUUGGUUAUUGACCGGAGAGGCGUCUCGGUCAUGUCUGCUUGUCUCCCGAACCCGUAGGGUCUACACACUUAAGGUCCGGUGAUGCUAGGGUUGUAGAGAUAUAUGUAUGCGGAAACCCGAAAGUUGUUCGGAGUCCCGGAUGAGAUCCCGGACGUCACGAGAGGUUCCGGAAUGGUCCGGAGGUGAAGAAUUAUAUAUAGGAAGUCCAGUUUCGGCCACCGGGAAAGUUUCGGGGGUUAUCGGUAUUGUACCGGGACCACCGGAAGGGUCCCGGGGGUCCACCGGGUGGGGCCACCUGUCCCGGAGGGCCCCGUGGGCUGAAAGUGGAAGGGAACCAGCCCUUAGUGGGCUGGGGCGUCCCCCUUGGGCCUCCCCCCUGCGCCUAGGGUUGGGAACCCUAAGGGGGGAGUUCCCCCUUGCCUUGGGGGGCAAGGCAACCCCUUCCCCCCUUGUGGCCGCCGCCCCCCUUGAGAUCCCAUCUCUUGGGGCCGGCGCCCCCCCAGGGGGCCUAUAUAAAGGGGGGAGGGAGGGCAGCAUACUACAGCUUUGGGCGCCUCCCUCCUCCCCUGCAACACCUCUCUCUCUCUCGCAGAAGCUCGACGAAGCCCUGCCGGAGACCCGCUACAUCCACCACCACGCCGUCGUGCUGUUGGAUCUCCAUCAACCUCUCCUUCCCCCUUGCUGGAUCAAGAAGGAGGAGACGUCGCUGCACCGUACGUGUGUUGAACGCGGAGGUGCCAUCCGUUCGGCACUCGGUCAUCGGUGAUUUGGAUCACGGCGAGUACGACUCCAUCAUCCACGUUCAUUGGAACGCUUCCGCUCGCGAUCUACAAGGGUAUGUAGAUGCAAUUCUUUCCCCUCGUUGCUAGUAGACUCCAUAGAUGCAUCUUGGUGAGCGUAGGAAAAUUUUAAAUUAUGCUACGAUUCCCAACAAGAACUUGUUGGAGACUUCAUAUCUCUCAACUCGGGUAUUUGCUUGAAAUAUUAACUUCAACUCCUGGAACAUCUUAUAUGGUCCAUGACGUUCAAAACGUCUUUGAAGUCCCGAUUCUAAGCCGUUAAGCAUGGUGCACUAGACUAUCAAGUAUUCAUCAUAUUGAGCUAGCCAAACGUUCAUAACGUCUGCAUCUACUCCUGCAAUAGGUCUGUCACCUAGCAGUGCAUCAAGGACAUAUUUUUUCUGCGCAGCAAUGAGGAUAAUCCUCAGAUCACGGAUCCAAUCCGCAUCUUUGCUACUAACAUCUUUCAACAUAAUUUUUCUCUAGGAACAUAUCAAAAAUAAACAGGGAAGCAACAACGCGAGCUAUUGAUCUACAACAUAAUUUGCAAAAUACUAUCAGGACUAAGUUCAUGAUAAAUUCAAGUCCAAUUAAUCAUAUUACUUAAGAACUCCCACUUAGAUAGACAUCCGUCUAAUCCUCUAAGUGAUCACGUGAUCCAUAUCAACUAAACCAUGUCCGAUCAUCACGUGAGAUGGAGUAGUUUCAAUGGUGAACAUCACUAUGUUGAUCAUAUCUACUAUAUGAUUCACGCUCGACCUUUCGGUCUCCGUGUUCCGAGGCCAUAUCUGUUAUAUGCUAGGCUCGUCAAGUUUAACCUGAGUAUUCCGCGUGUGCAACUGUUUUGCACCCGUUGUAUUUGAACGUAGAGCCUAUCACACCCGAUCAUCACGUGGUGUCUCAGCACGAAGAACUUUCGCAACGGUGCAUACUCAGGGAGAACACUUAUACUUUGAUAAUUUAGUGAAGAAUCAUCUUAUAAUGCUACCGUCAAACAAAGCAAGAUAAGAUGCAUAAAGGAUUAACAUCACAUGCAAUCAAUAUAAGUGAUAUGAUAUGGCCAUCAUCAUCUUGUGCUUGUGAUCUCCAUCUCCGAAGCACCGUGCUUGUGAUCUCCAUCUCCGAAGCACCGUCAUGAUCACCAUCGUCACCGGCGCGACACCUUGAUCUCCAUCGUAGCAUCGUUGUCGUCUCGCCACCUUAUUGCUUUUACGACUAUCGCUACCGCUUAGGGAUAAAGUAAAACUAUUACAUGGCGAUUGCAUCUCAUACAAUAAAGCGACAACCAUAUGGCUCCUGCCAGUUGCCGAUAACUCGGUUACAAAACAUGAUCAUCUCAUACAACACAUUAUAUCACAUCAUGUCUUGACCAUAUCACAUCACAACAUGCCCUGCAAAAACAAGUUAGACGUCCUCUACUUUGUUGUUGCAUGUUUUACGUGGCUGCUACGGGCUUAGCAAGAACCGUUCUUACCUACGCAUCAAAACCACAACGAUAGUUUGUCAAGUUGGUGCUGUUUUAACCUUCGCAAGGACCGGCCGUAGCCACACUCGGUUCAACUAAAGUGAGAGAGACAGACACCCGCCGGUCACCUUUAAGCAACGAAUGCUCGCAACGGUGAAACCAGUCUCGUGUAAGCGUACGCGUAAUGUCGGUCCGGGCCGCUUCAUCUCACAAUACCGCUGAACCAAAGUAUGACAUGCUGGUAAGCAGUAUGACUUAUAUCGCCCACAACUCACUUGUGUUCUACUCGUGCAUAGCAUCAACGCAUAAAACCAGGCUCGGAUGCCACUGUUGGGGAACGUAGUAAUUUCAAAAAAAAUCCUACGCACACGCAAGAUCAUGGUGAUGCAUAGCAACGAGAGGGGAGAGUGUUGUCCACGUACCCUCGUAGACCGACAACGGAAGCAUUAUCACAACGCGGUUGAUGUAGUCGUACGUCUUCAUGAUCUGACCGAUCAAGUACCGAACGCACGGCACCUCCGAGUUCUACACACGUUCAGCUCGAUGACGUCCCUCGAACUCCGAUCCAGCCGAGUGUUGAGGGAGAGUUUCGUCUGCACGACGGCGUGGUGACGAUGAUGAUGUUCCACCGACGCAGGGCUUCGCCUAAGCUCCGCAACGGUAUUAUCGAGGUGUAAUAUAGUGGAGGGGGGCACCGCACACGGCUAAGAGAUCUCAAGGAUCAAUUGUUGUGUCUCUGGGGUGCCCCCCUGCCCCCGUAUAUAAAGGAGCAAGGGAGGAGGAGGCCGGCCCUAGGAGGGGCGCACCAAGUGUGGAGUCCUACUAGGACUCCCUAGUCCUAGUAGGAUUCCACCUCCCAUAUGGAAUAGGAAUAGAGGAAGGGAAAAAGAGAAGGAAGGAAGGGGGCGCCCCCCUUCCCUAGUCCAAUUCGGACCAGACCAAGGGGAGGGGUGUGGCCACCCUUGAGGCCCUUUUCCUUCUUUCCCGUAUGGCCCAAUAAGGCCCAAUACGUAUUCCCGUAACUCUCCGGUACUCCGAAAAAUACCCGAAUCACUCGAAACCUUUCCGAAGUCCGAAUAUAGUCGUCCAAUAUAUCGAUCUUUACGUCUCAGCCAUUUCGAGACUCCUCGUCAUGUCCCCGAUCUCAUCCGGGACUCCGAACUCCUUCGGUACAUCAAAACUCAAUAAAACUGUCAUCAUAACGUUAAGCGUGCGGACCCUACGGGUUCGAGAACUAUGUAGACAUGACCGAGACACGUCUCCGGUCAAUAACCAAUAGCGGGACCUGGAUGCCCAUAUUGGCUCCCACAUAUUCUACGAAGAUCUUUAUCGGUCAGACCGCAUAACAACAUACGUUGUUCCCUUUGUCACCGGUAUGUUACUUGCCCGAGAUUUGAUCGUCGGUAUCUCGAUACCUAGUUCAAUCUCGUUAUCGGCAAGUCUCUUUACUCGUUCCGUAACACAUCAUCCCGCAACUAACUCAUUAGUCACAAUGCUUGCAAGGCUUAUAGUGAUGUGUAUUACCGAGUGGGCCCAGAGAUACCUCUCCGACAAUCGGAGUGACAAAUCCUAAUCUCGAAAUACGCCAACCCAACAAGUACCUUUGGAGACACCUGUAGAGUACCUUUAUAAUCACCCAUUUACGUUGUGACGUUUGGUAGCACACAAAGUGUUCCUCCGGUAAACGGGAGUUGCAUAAUCUCAUAGUCAUAGGAACAUGUAUAAGUCAUGUAGAAAGCAAUAGCAACAUACUAAACGAUCGAGUGCUAAGCUAACGGAAUGGGUCAAGUCAAUCACGUCAUUCUCCUAAUGAGGUGAUAUCGUUAAUCAAAUGACAACUUAUGUCUAUGGCUAGGAAACAUAACCAUCUUUGAUUAACGAGCUAGUCAAGUAGAGGCAUACUAGUGACACUCUGUUUGUCUAUGUAUUCACACAUGUAUUAUGUUUUCGGUUAAUACAAUUCUAGCAUGAAUAAUAAACAUUUAUCAUGAUAUAAGGAAAUAAAUAAUAACUUUAUUAUUGCCUCUAGGGAAUAUUUCCUUCAAGGACUACGACAGGGAGAUCCCUUAAGCCCUUAUCUUUUCCUAUUUGUGGCAGACGGACUUGCCACAUUUCUAAAAAACAAGGUGGAUAGCGGGGAAAUCUCACCUCUGAAGGUAGCACGAGGAAGCCCGGGUAUAUCCAACUUACUUUUUGCUGAUGAUAGUCUCCUAUUCUUCAAGGCUACCGAUGAGCAAGCAGUACGGGUCAAAGAGACGUUGGUUCUGUUCCAAAAAUGUACAGGUCAACUCUUGAGCGAGAGUAAAUGUUCCCUACUGUUCAGUGAAGUGUCCAGUGAACAUGAGAGGGAGGCGAUCAAGAGGAGACUAGGUGUGGAGUCAGCUACGUUUGAGAGCAAAUACCUAGGGCUACCCACACCGGAAGGAAGGAUGAAAGAUGAGAUGUUCCAGCCGAUAAUGGAUAGAUUUGGGAAGAGAUGCAAUGACUGGAACGAGAGAUUUAUGUCCAAAGCAGCAAAGGAAGUUCAUGUUAAGUCGGUUGCUCAAGGACUGCCAACUUUUGUUAUGGGGGUGUUUAAACUGAAUCAAAGCUUCUGUGAUAGCUAUGAGAAAAUCAUAAGGGAUUUCUGGUGGGGGGGUAAAGAUGAUCACCGGAAAGUGCAUUGGAUGGCGUGGAAGAAUAUGACUAAACCAAAAAGAGAUGGGGGUAUAGGUUUCAGAGAUAUGCAUCUAUUUAACCAAGCACUUUUAGCGAGACAGGGAUGGAGACUACUACAAAACCCAGACAGUCUAUGCGCCAGAGUACUUAAGUCUAAGUACUAUCCCAACGGAGAACUUGUGGACACGGUCUUUGCCUCAGAUGCCUCCCCUGCCUGGCGUGGGAUCGAAUUUGGCUUGGAGCUGUUAAAAAAAGGACUAAUUUGGCGCGUUGGAAACGGAAGGAAAAUACAAAUUAUAAGAGACCAGUGGAUCCCAAGGAGUUCUGGACUCAAAACUGCUAGCUACAUUCGGAGAUCAAGGUUAAGAUGGGUCAACCAACUGAUACUACCAGAUUCCAGAGAGUGGAAUACAGACCUCAUCAGACAAAUCUUUCACUCCUUCGAUGCAGACGAAAUUUGUAAGAUUCGGAUCCCGGCGAGAGAAGUGGAAGAUUGUAUAGCCUGGCACUAUGAAAAGACAGGGGUGUUCACUGUAAAAAGCGCUUACAAACUUGCAGACAUGCUGGAAAGAAACGGUACAGAGGGUCCAUCAAGCUCAACUAGUGAACCAGGAGAUAGAAGUGUUUGGGAUGUGAUCUGGAAAGCGAAGAUCCCGGAACGAAUCAAGAUAUUUGGGUGGAGGGUUGCCACUCAGUCUCUUGCAACCAAACACAACACACACAGAAGAACAAUUGUGCCUGAGGAUAUAUGCGACAUUUGUGGAACUGAACCAGAAGAUGAGUUCCACGCUGUUAUUUCAUGCACUCGCAGCAAGGCGUUGCGGAAUGGCAUGAGGUCAGCCUGGGAUCUGCCAAAAGAGCAAGAAUUUAGUAAAACUGGGAAAGACUGGCUGCAAUGUCUGCUCAUCCCACUUCCAGAUCAUGUCAGGAAUAGAACACUAAUGAUUCUAUGGAAAGCUUGGCAACUUAGGAAUAAUGUUAUACAUGGAGAUGGAAAGGAUACAGUGACAGGGGCCAUGAGACAACUGGUAAAGCUGGAUGAAGACCUGGAUGUAGCCGCAAAUGGCGAUGAGAAAACAGGAGGCAAAGGUAGUCUGUUAGUGUAUGCAGAGAGAAUAUGCAAACCAGCUGUGUCUGGAACAAACCAAUGGACACCCCCACCAAUGCAGUCAGCAAAACUGAACUCCGAUGCAGCAUUUUUACCAGAGUUUGCAAGAGCUUGGGAUGGAGCAGUCGCCCGGGAUCACAGAGGAACCCCAUUCCUAUCUGUGGGCUGCCAACUACAUCAGUGUAGGACGGUGGAAGCAGAAGCCUCGUCUGUUCUACUGGGUCUAGAUGAAAUGAGCAAGUAUUUUGAUGGGCAUCUAAUUGUAGAGACAGACUGUGCUACUGUAGGGCAUGAACUACAAAGAGAAGGAAGGAGCAGAUCGCCCUGGCGUGGAGUAAUAACAGACAUAAAGGAACGGAUGAGACACUUUGCCAGCGUGCAGAUUAGCAUUGUUAAGAGGAAUCAUAACAAGCUAGCACAUGAGAUUGCAGCGACGGCUAGAGAAUAUGGAAACCACUUCUUCCUAGCUGAAGUGCAUGACAACGUUAGACAAAGAAUGUUGUCGGAAUGUAACAACACCAACGCAUGAUUGUAUGCUUUGGUUCUAAAAAAAAAAAGAAGGGACGCCAAUGCUUUCCACGGGUGUCCAUGGAUGUGAAUGACGUCAUUCCACCAAUCUUUGACAUUGUGGAAUGGGUUGGGCCAUAUGGCCGAAGAGGCUAGAUACGAUUUUAGGCCCAUCAGAUGGACUGGCCCCAUGCAACAUCCUUCCUUGUCUCUGAAUAGGCCCAUCAGAACGCGCAAGGAGCAUUUUAACAAGUCUUCCCCUUCCUCUCGCCCAAUUUCCUCACCUGCCCCCGAGAAGAGAGAGAGAAAAUCAGCGAGACGCGAAUCAGCGGCGGCGAUGGCUCUCCCGGCGUCCAGCUCCACCCUCUCCCGCUUCCUCUCCUCCCGCCGCAUCCAGCCCACGGACGUCACCGCCCUCGCCACCUGGGGCAUCUUCGCCGGCAGCGCCGCCAUCUACCUCGUCCAGGUCCGUGUUGAAACUGUCCAUUCACGAUUACGCGUUCGAUCGUAUCCGCCGUCCGCCACUUUCGAGCCUUGCUUCCCCUCGCAUCCGUCGCCCGAUCCGUACAUAUGUUUGGUCUCUCGGUGUUAGGGUUUGGUUUCUCUAGAUCCGAUCUUGCCAUGCCUGUGUACUGUAGCUGCUGGUUGUUUGCCUAGAUCUACGGCGUGCUGGAUCGGUCUUCACGCCCGGCGAUCCGAGCGAGGUGAUGUGAUCUGGGAGGGAUUAUCAGAAGUUUAUUACGUGGUCAAACUUGUUGUUUGGAUCUAAUUAGUGCUCUAUUGGUAGGGUGGGAUUGUAUACGGUGGAGGAGAAGACCAAAGUGAUUAUGCGAUGGCAACAGAUUUAUUCUGGCGAACCCCUGUUUGUUAAGGUGCCUUGGUGAUAGGAACGUGCUGCAAUAAAUAGUUCAAGGCAAAUGCUGAAGUAGCCAUGGUCCUAUCUACAUCAUGCUAAC